AGAUAUUUUCUUUUUUUAAAAUUUAUAAUUACUUUUUAGUAAUUGGUUAGGUCAUCAAUAGCACAUGGCAUUUUUUAAUUAGUCAAUUUUGUCAUGUCAGCACAAGUGUAGAAAACAUACUUCAUAAUUUUUGUUGAAUAUUCGAAAGUGCCUAGUAAAAAUAAUUUUCUAUGUUCAAUAGGUAUCAAUCUUAGUUGAGGGGUCCAAGUGAAAUUUUGAAAUAAGUUUAGAAUUCUAUCGAUGACUUAAGUCAUAUUUAAAAAACAUAUAAAAAAAAAAAUUACAUAGUACCACAACUUAAGUUCACUAAUCUACUUAGAAUUCCUAUCCUUUUUUAGUAAUUAUAAUAAUCCCUAAUUUUUAGCAUAUCCUAAGAAAACUCGGAUACAUCCUUAAAAUUCUUAUUUACUUUCUCUCUCUUAAAACAUCCAAUAAAUCACAAAAAUUGGGAAUCCACCACCUACUGGUCCUAUUUUCUUGGCUAAAAUUUAUCUCCAUUAUUUGUUGUUCCUUUCAUCUUCAAUUUCUCUAUUACUAUAAUUCAAUUUCUCUAUAAAGAUGUCACUUUUUCUCCGCCACCACCUAGUUGCUCUCACAUAUUUUGUUUGGCAUUUGAUUCAUGAGAUGUGAAGCAACUGGAUCUUAUUCUUGCAUUAUUUUUUCAUCUUCUUUUCCACCAAUUUUUUUUAUAUAAAUUAUUUUUUUAUUUUUCCUCAUUUGAGCAAAGAAAAGAAAAAAGUGAAAAAAAUAAGAUUUUAAUUUCUUUAAAGUAUCGAAAUCACAUUCCCCAACGUUUUACCAUGAAAUGUGUCUGGUAUGUUCUCUGCGGAAUUGUUACUUGAAAAAUUCAAUGGAGAUGAAGAAGAGUAGGGUGUCGCAACUUCAUGAUGUAUCUGUUAUUAAUGGCGGAGUGAUGGUGCUUCAAAAGGCAAAAUGAGGUUUUAUUGUUUUGAAAGACAAAGUGGGUGAUUCAAAAAGGUAUUAUGAAUAUGUAUUGAAACAAAAAGAUAGUGAGAUACAUUAUUUAUGUCAGAUCCAAGUAUCUGAUACAUAAUUAUUAUGUAUCUCUCUUAAUUAUUUUAUAGAAUAAUGUAUUUCGAUCAAAAUAGUUGUAAAGUGUAAUGUAUCUCUAUCAUUUUUAUUCUACUAAUAAACUCAUCAUUCAACUAAUACAUUUAUUGAUGAAUAACCAAGUAAUAAUCUAAAUGUUACAUUUUAAUGUAUCUGAAUAUAAGGUAUGCAAUAUGUAUUCGCACUUGAUAUCAGUCAGUCAAACACUGAAUUAUUGUAACAACAUAGUGAUAUUCAUUAUGAAACGUUCAAAAAUAACAAAAAAAAAAAUGCAACAAUUAGAGAAGAGAGGAGAAUCAUGUUUCUGCCAGAAGAAUGAGGAUCUUUUUUUUUUUUAAGUUCAAAACUUGAACUACUUACGUUAUUCUUGGGAUUUUGAGAGUACAAUACAAAGUAUGUCGAAUGAGUUGUUUCACAAAUAAAAGAUUUUCAUUAUUUUUUUUUAACACACAUUAACUUCUUGUUAGGAUGUAUCGGUUGUCAAAUUAUGUAUCUGAAAAAUCAAAAUCAGAUAUUUUACGUAAUUUUAUUAAAAGAAGAAAUAGAGAGUAAGUAGGGGUAAACUUAUUGCGAUUUAAGUAAGUUUUACUAUAAAAAAACAUAAUUGACUCUUUAAAUGACAAAUACUAUAAAUGACAAAUUGUAGCAGAGGAAAAAACAUACAUUAUUUAAAAAUUACAUAGAAAAUACUAUAAAACACAAUAAUUAACAAUUUAAAAUAUUUAAAAAAACAUAUAUAAAAGAUUUGCUUGACUCUCCAAAUUCAUCAGUAUAAACAAAAUUGGGACCAAGAAAUUAAUAUGUACUAUCUAAAAAUUAUGUUGAAAGUAUCAUAAAUCUUAAUAAUUAACAACUUAAAAUAAUUAAAAUAUGUAACACAAUUACAAAAAAUUAAUUGACUCUAUAAACUACAUCUGGAUCAAAUAAAUGAUACAAAAAGAUAGCAUAUAUUGGGCUUGUUCUUGCACUGGCCCUUGUAUCUAAUUUUUAUAACUAAGUCAUGAUGAAUUGAUGAUAACUAGCUACUUCAAGCAUGCAUUUGGUCAUAUGUUUAAAAUAUUUUUCACUUUAUUUAAAAUAUGAAGUUAAAUUUAAAGAUGGAGUUGUAUUUAACUAUACUUUUGUAAUGAAUAUUUGAAAUAAUGUUCAUAUUUGAAUGUACUUAAAAAAAAAUUAUAAAAAAAAUGCAACUAGUAAUGUUACGUUACAAAAUAUAGUCCACUCUAGAUUACAUUAUCAAAUAUGACCCAGUUAUAUAGAAAAAGAAAGUUACUAUAUAUUCUUAGCCAAUUAUUACUCUCUCACACACACACUUUUCUCAUCUUCAUCUAACAAAAUAGAAAACUGGAAUUGAUUUUAAAUGUUCACAAGAUUAGACAUUUCUCAUCAAAACUUGCUACUUACAGAAGCAGUAAAGUUUAUAACAUCUUUCUUUUCCUGCGACCUAGUCGUGCAUGAUAGUCCUUCCAUUGGUUGUAAAUGAAUAUUCUCGUUGAAUGUUUUAGAUGCAUGUUAAGUGUUGCUAUAUUUUUAUUUUAAAAUUUUUGUGUUAGCUCUCCAACUUAACAUGUCAAAUCAUCAGAUAGAACCUUCUAAAUUACAUACAUACUUAUUGUUGCAGUUUGAAUUAAACUCAAUUACUUUUUACGCUCUUUGACUCUGCAUGAUCUUUCAGUAGCAUAAGUAGGGAAUCACCGACUUCCAUAAGUCUAUUAUAUCUUAAAAACUAUACAGUAUGAAACAUAACCUGAAUUUUAUUUUUCAUUAGCUCCAUAAGGCAGCCUUUCAUGUUUGAACGUGAUUUUAGGCUUAGAUGGAAGUCUAUUAAAUGAAGUAGAGGAAUCGAAGUUUGAUUAGAAGUAAAGUAAGACAUUAACGAAGCUUUUCCUUCUUGGGUAACUCCAAAAUCCUGUCUGUUGGAAUCAAGAAAGCAGACAAGGUAAAAAAUCUUGUAUAAUAUUUGUAUAGUAUUGUAUAAGAGUAUACUACCACCUUUUAUAUAAUUUUGAAUAAAUUAUAUAUUAGGUGUAUAUAUAUAAUUAUACAAUAAUAUACAUUAUUACACAAAUAUAUGCACACACAUAUAUAAUGUUUAAAUUAUGUAUUACAUUGUAUAAUUAAUAAGUGUGUAUAAAGUGUAAAGGAAGAAGAAAAUCACCGAAAUAAAGAUAUUGUAUUAUAUAUACAACAAUAUACAAUACAAUAUACAAAUAUAUACGUCGUUGUAUCCAAAAACAGACUCCAUCUUCUUUCUUGAUUCCAAACAUCAAUCCAUUCAAAAAUAUCUCAAAAUUAUACCAAAUCAUUUAAAAUUUUAAAUUUGGGCUCCUCAAUACAUAAUCAAUUUUUUAUAACUAUAUCCAUAAAAUAGAGCUUAUUUAUGAAAAUAUUGAAAUCUCGAGUUGUAAAAAGAAAAACUUGAAACAAUGAUGAAUUAUUCACUAAUUUGUUUGAAAUUUUUUGAGAGAGAAGAGAGAAAGAAUUGAAGUGAAAAUUGCGAAGAAGAAGCUGGAAAUUUGGUAUGAGAAGUGUUGUUUCCUAUAUAAUCAGAAAGAAAAGUUAAUUAACGGUGAUUGGUCAAAUCAAAUUUUGGGCUAUAAAAUAUAAGGUAUAUUUUUGACUAUUUAAAUGUAAAGUAUAUUUACUAGUUGUGCUUUUGUGCAAUUAUUUCAAUAUACAAUCUUAAAAGUGAAAAGUAAACUAACAUGUUAUAAGUUGUUUUUUAAAUUUGAAAAAUACAACUUUAAGCUAAAUUUUAAAUUUUCAUGGUUAAACACUAAUUUUCAAAAAAAAUUAAGAAAUCUGAAAAAAAAAAGAAAAAGUGAAUUAACCUUCGGAUAAAUUGAUAUAAAUAGUCAUGCACCAAAGUAACAACCAACAAGUGUAUAUUCAUUGUAUUUCAAUAUAUAACAAUAUAUGUACUUUAUACAUAAUAAUGUAUAUUUCUAUAUAUUUAGUUACCAAAUGCUUUCUCCGUCUCAUAUUAGUUGGUCAUCUUACUAAAAAUAGUUGUUCUAUAUUCGUUGGUCACUUUACUCAAUCAAAAAAUUAUUCAUUUAAUUUUUUUCAUAUUAACCUCGCAAUUAAUUCUUUUAGAAAGUGUUCGCACUUGUUUGUAAAGUUCCCAAGAACUUUUUAAGGGGUGAGUUAGUAAAAUUAUCUUUUUAUUUAUAUUUUUAAUCAUCGUGUAAAGUAGAAUGUGUCCAACUAAUAUGAAAUGGAUGGGGUAUAAUUAUAUUGGUCCAUUGGCUAAUUUACCUUAAUUUUUAUGACCAAAUGAGUCCUAGUGUUCUUUGAUGUUUUCCAUAAAAUUUUCUGGCAGAAAGGGAAAAAGGGAAUUAAGGCAACAAAUAUUUAGGGGUCAUUUGGUAGAACGUAUAAAAAUAGUACUGAAUAGAGCGUAUUAGAAAUGCUAAGAUUAGUAAUAUUGAGAUUAGUAAUACUGAAUUAGUAGUAUUGGCUUAUUUCUUAUCCAGUAGUUGAUUUGAUGUAUUAAAAAUAAUUUGUAUUGCUAUAUUUUCUUAAAACUAUUAUUUGUUUACAAAAAUAUCCUUCAUAUUCUAUACCUUUGUGUAUUUUCUUUCCAUAGUUCUAUUAUUUAUUCUUAAAAACAAUUUUUUUUAUCCUCACUUAAAUUAUUUGAGAGUAAAUAAUUGUUAUCUUAAUAAAUUGAUUCACUCACAAAACGUCAAAUUUUAAUUAAAAAUAAGAGUCGAUAAAAUUAUUAGAUAGAGUUUUAUAGGGUGAUACUUCCUAGUUUAAAUAGGUUCCAUUAACCUUACUACUUUAUAAUUUUUACUUUUGGUGGUGAAAUAAGAUUCGAUAGUAAUCCCCUCUUCCUGCCCCCCGAAACACCCUAGAAUUUAGGGACUUUGAAAAUUUUGAGAUUUGAGCUUACUACCUAAGCUAUAACUCACCCAACGAGUUGUAAGGUCUCCUUAUGAAUCAUAGGGUAACCAGUGAGGUUAUCCAUGUCUUCUGUCCUAACCAUGAAUCCCACUUAAUGAGUCAUGAAGACUCUAUACAAGCCGUAUAGGUGUCAUCCAUAACCAGACUAGUGUAAUAGCCAAGGUUUCUAUUAUGGCUACGACUGAGAUGUCACGAGUCUUAAUGACUCUAUACCGAUCGUAGGGUGCUUAACAUAGCCAAACCAGAGUAGGUGAACAAUAUCAGUAUUUCUGUUAUGACUAGGACCCUAUGAGUUAUAAGAUCUGUGUAUGAGUCGUAGGGUUAACAGUGAUGAGGCCCCAUGUCUCUUCCAGACUACGAGUCAUCGCCACGACUCGUAAUCAGACGUCACGAGUCGUGAUGUGACUCGUAGUCACCGGCGAUAGUCUUUUCCUGUGUUUAAGUUGGGGGUACUUUGGUCAUUUUCCUCUUUCCCAAUUGUGACCCAUGACCUUAAAACCCUUUUGGGACCUUAUUAUCAUCCAAAAACAUAAUCCAACACACUCUCAAACUCUCUCAAAUCCCUAAGUCUUUAAUAGGUUAGGGUUUCUCAGGGUUGAUCAUUUAAAGCUUUCAAGUGGUGAUUUCUCUCCAUAAUUGUGAUACUUUCAAGUAUAUACCUCUUCCCUUAAACUUGUUUUACUUAAAACAUGUGUUUAAAUGGUUAUUCAUGUAUGGAUUUUGAUUUGGGUUGAGGAUUUUGAAAUUAAUAUUACUUGAAUGAAUUUCCAUGAUUUUAUAUGCAUUGUUCAUGCUUUAUCAAUGAUUUUAAACUAAUUGGGUGAAUGGGUAUGAAAAUUGAAAAGAGGGUCGAGGCAUUCCCCAAUUUGAUGAUUUUGGUUUGAAAUUUGAUUUUAGAAAUUACGCUCUCUCAACCCACUUGCAUAAUUGAAUUUGAAUGAUGGCUAAUCACUUGAUUUGACUUGCUUCCCUAAACUAUUGCAUUGCAUAAAUGGUUAAAUGGAUAAAAAGGAUUUUGAAAGCCUUGUUGGCCAUGUUGUUAAUUUAAAACAUGAUUUAAUGAACAAAGGUGGUCGUGGCAUUUUUCCAACUUGGUUUGAUGAACAACGGGGGUCGUGGCAUUCUUCCAAGUUGAUGAAAUUAGUAUGGCAUAAUUAUAAGCUUGGAAGCGCAAUGGUAUGAUGAUACCCAAGGUUGAUGUCUCAAUAGAUAAUUCCUUGGUUAAUGUGUUGACACCUAAUUUUUGCCCUCCACGACUAAGUUUAAUUUCGAGUUUCUUCAUUUUAAAUAAAAUAUAACAUUUAUUUUACCUAAAUAAAAUAAUCUUCAAAAUAUUUAUCUUGGUAAUUUUGUUAUUUAAGUAGCGAUUAAAUAUUUUCGUAUUCAAUUAUAAAAAAUCAUAUAAUUUUGUUACCUAAAUAUUUAUGUUACGAAAUAUCGGAUUUUAAUCAAGACUUAUCUUGAAAAUUAAUUCAAACGGUUGAAAUCUUGAUUUAAUUAUAAUUAGUCUCAAAAAUAAUUUAUUUUAAAAAUAUUUAUUUGAUUUUAUUAAAUUAAGAAGCUCGGAAUUAAAUUGAUUGAUAAUUUAUUUUUAAUUUUGAUUUAAUGUAGUCAAUUUAUUGGAUUCGGUCAUAAUUGAAACCUAUUUGACCACAAUUGCUAUGCAAUUGGCCAAUAGACUUAUCAAUUUAACUAAAUUAUAAAUAAAAUUGACUAAAGCUUCAACCCAUUUAGGCUAUUUCUUAAAUGACUUGAUCUAUCCAUUCCCUUUUACUUUAUUUCAGCCUCAUCAGGCCAAAAACUGACCCACCGGCCCAACAACACUUCAGCCAACCCGGCCCACACCCCAUAUUUCCUAGGGAAAAAUUUCAGAAAUAUCAUCUAUAGAAUCUUAAUUGUAACUUUUAUAGCAACAGUUUUAUAAUUAUAAAAAAAAUAGCAAAUUGUAUAUUGUAUUUAAGUAAAUCGUUGUUAUACAAAUACAUAUACAACAAAAUUUAUUGUCCUUAUUUUACUCAAAUUAAUUGAGUUAAAUAAGGAAUAAUUAUCCUAUCUAAUUAAAUUCUCAUAAAUUACUGUUAUUUAAAUUAGUAGAUUCUUUUUCCAAAUCAAACUCAAAUAUGAAGAUUAUUAUUUUCAUGAUCUUCAAAAUUUCAAAAUAUCAUUCUCUUAUAUCUCUAACUAUUUUUUCUUGUUGGUAUUUUCAUUUUUUUUUAUCUUUUUUAAUUUUAAUUUCUAUUUCUUUUUCAUUUUUUUCUUUCCACUUUAUUUUCUCUCUUCUACUUCUUUUUUUUUUCCUUUUUCCUUUUUUUUUUCUUUUUUCGUUUUCUUUUUUUUUUUCCUUUUCUCAUAUUCUUUUUCGUUUUCUUCUUCUUCUUUUUUAUUUUUUUUUGCUUUUAUUUUUACACUUCUAUUUCCAUUUCUCUUUCUUCUUCUUUUUUCCUUUUUCACUUUUUUUUUUGAAUUUUUAUUUUUUUCUUUUUUUUACUCUUCUAUCUCUAUAUUUUAUUUUUAAAAGACAAAUAUCCUUAUCAUAUAUACAUAUUCAAAAAAAAAACAAAAUAAAAAGCCUUACAGAUCUGCAUAUGUAUUUACGGUAAAACACAUAUGUAUAUAUAUAUAUAUAUCUGCAUAUGUAUUUACAGAAAUACAUAUCUGACUCACAUGUAUAUAUAAACAUAUAGGACACAGAAUCUCUAUAACAAAAAUGACAAUUUAUGCAUAUACAUAUAGGUAAUAAAAAAAAUACAUGCUACAUAUCUUAAACAGUAAAAGAAAACAAAUAAGUACAUAUGUUACCCUAUAAAAUGACAUAAUAUGUACAGUUCAAAGACAAAUUCAAUACCGUAUAAAAUGCAUAUAGCUCUGCAUAUGUAUUUACGGAAUACAUAUCUAAUCCAUAUGUAUAUUUUUAUUUUAUAUGAGUCGUCUUUGUAUUUCGCAAAUACAUAUGAAGAUAUAUACUAUAGUUAUAUUUGUUACUGUUUAAUAUGAAUACGAUAUGUAUUUCGUAAAUACAUAUGUAUGUUUUGUACCGUAAAUACAUAUCCAGAUCUGUAUGUCUAUGUAUUUUAUAUAUUUUUUAAAUAUGUGUAUGUGAUAAACAUAUUUGUGUGGUAAAUAUAUUUGUCUCUUCAAAAUAAAAGUUAGAGAUAGAAGAGUAAAAAAAGAAAAAUAACAAAAAGAAAAAAAUGAAAAAAAGAGAAGUGAAGAAGAAUAAAAAAGAAAGAAAGAGAAAUAGAAGUGUAAAAAUAAAAGAAAAAAGAAAUAAAAUAAAAUAAUAAAAAGAAGAAGAGAAUGAAAAUAGAAAAAGAAAAAAAAGAUAUGAGAAAGGAAAAAAAAAAUAGAAGAGAGAAAAUAAAGCGGAAUGAAAAAAAUGAAAAAGAAAAAGAAAAAGAAAUCAAAAUAAAAAAAUAAAAUGAUAAAAAAUAAGAUGAAAAAAAAAAACUAACAAGAAAAAAAGGUAGAGAUAUAAAAGAGUGAAAUACAAUAAUGAUAUUUUAUUUUGAAAUCUUGAAGAUCAUAGAAAUAAUUAUUUUGAAAUAUGAAAAAGAAAACAAAAAAAAUAGAAGAGAGAAAAUAAAGUGAAAAAUAAAAAAAAUGAAAUAAAAUAAGAUAAAUGAUAAAAAAAAAUAAGAUUAAAAAAAAAGGUAAAAGAUAUGGCUAUAUUUGGGGGAGGUGAAAUAGUGGAGUAAAAAUAAAAAAAUAUAAAGUAGUAAAAGUAAAACAUACACUUGACUAAUUAAUGAGUAAAUAAUGUUACUCUUAUUAUAAACUAUAAUUUUAUAAAAAUAUUAUUCUCACCAUCCCAAAUUAUGUGUCAUUAUUUUUUUUUUAAUCCGUUCCAAAAUAAAUAUCGUCUUUCCUUAUUAGGCAACUUUUUAAAAACACAAUUAUUCUUUUACUCUUAUUGGUCCCACUUAAUUAAAAAAGAAAUAUUGGCACAUUAUUUUAUAAAAGAUAAUUUGAUAAACUUUACCAAGUUUUUUUUUUUUUUCUUAAAUUUCAUGCUUGAUUAAAUGACGACACAUCGGAGAGAGUAUUAUUUAUUAUAAUUAUAGUUCCAUUCCCUUUCUCCCCUUGUGUGUAUCACGCAACAACAACAUACAAACAAAACCCGUACCAACUUCCAACAACAAAAACAACGGCAAAGCCCAAUACCCAAAUGGCUUCCUGCAAUGUCAAAAACAACAGCAAUUUCAACAACGUUUAACAACGACAAACAACGUUCAGCGACAAGAACAACUUUGUCGAUACCAACGAGCAACAACAAUUCAAUAGUUUCAACGUGCAAAUCCGAUUUCAACCCGUACCCGUCGGCGACCCAACCCACAAACACCGCAAGUUCAACCAAUAAACCCCCUAAAUCAUGAAAUAUCUCCCUUCAUCUUAUCUCUGCAAUUUUGCAUACUUAGAGCCAUCGUUGUUGAUUUUGGCUCAAGAUUGUGUGUUUCCAAAUCCAAAAUUCAAUCCAAAUCAGAAGAUGUUCGAAUUUUAGGGAUAUGUAUGGAAAAGCCAAUAUCUUUCCCUUAAAUAGGGAUUGNNNNNNNNNNNNNNNNNNNNNNNNNNNNNNNNNNNNNUUGAGGAUUUCUUGGGGAAAAUUUUGGAGAUUCUGGAGGAGCUUUCCUCUAAUCUCACGUAACCGAGUAAUUCGUUGAAUUCAUUAAUUCCAGCAAAAAUCAAGCUAAAUUCUGAUUUUUGAAGUCGUCUUUGUCGUCUCGUCGUCCCGGUUCCUGCGUCUAAAAAGGUAAUACUCCUCCUACUCUCAUCUUAAUUACUCACUGCUUAUUUGAUGAUAUUUGAAUUUGGCUUGUUAGUUCGAAUGUGAUUUGGUUGAAUCAGUUUUCCCAGGUUUGGUUUAAUUACUGGAAUGACAUGAUAAAGAUCUAAAUGUGAAUCCCCUGUCAAGUCCGUUAAGUAAAGAUUGUCAUUGUGAUUCCUUGCUAAUCAUCAAUGUUUUCUUGCUAGCCCGGUGUCAUCUUUUGUUUUCUUGAGCAUGCUUCUUUUGUCUCCUUAUAAGGAUGGAGAUCAGUACAACCAUCUAGAUUAGUAGAUGGUAUUGUUUUGAGUCGUAAUCCACCCCCUUUAUGGUCGGCCAGAUCAUGUCGGGUGUACAAACCUUACAUCUUGGGGUAGAUAUUAGUUUCCCCCAAGAACGUGAAGCUUAGUUUAGCUACGCUCUAAUUUCUUCUUACAGAAUCGAGUUUUGUUUUCUUUACUUGAUCAUGUUGGUCAGCUUUUGGUUGCAUUAGAGAGACAUAUAGUAAAUAUUGAGCAUACUGCAAAAUCACGCUUUCUUGAGCAGGUGUCGAUUAGUUUACAUAUUGGUCUGCAGAUUAUUUUGCGGGUACAUGGUUGACUAUGAGAUGGACUGAUUUAGUUUCAUUCAAGGCUUUGUUACUUGUUAUAAAAAUUAGUGUCAGGAUUUGCCUCUGGAAUGGGCAUCUUGUGAAAAAAAUAAACUUCUCCUCCAAACUCGGGUGUUUUCUUUAUUCAUGCACUCGUCCUCGGUCCCUUGCCCUUCUUGCUUGACUUUAGUCUUAAGGAAAAUGUCCUCGAAUCUACAAAGUGUUUUCCUGUUGAACAUUUAAAAGCAAGAAUAAUCACGAACUAUCUCUUAUCUGGUUCCAAUAUGCAUACUUGAAAAUAAUUGCGUGGAUAAUAUGGAAGGAAUAAUGGGACAAAUUAGAAUUGCGAAAAUCAAUGGUGGGUUUGAGAGAGUUCGAUUUUUGGGACCUCAUUGUUUGUGCCUCUCUUUUUGCCACACUUCGAUUUGCUGUUUUUUUUUUUUUUGAAUAUGUGAUGUCCCUAAGUCGAGACUUUGGUCAAAUGUGAAAUGAUUUUUCUUUCUUUCCACUCAAAGUCCUUUUCUUUAUAGGAAUAAUAAAUAAAUGAGCAUUGAAAACGCAUUUGAACUGUCAAUUAUCUUUCCUUAUUCGAAAGUUCAUAUAUAAAAAAAUCAAACAAAGAUAUUUUUAAUAAAUAGUUUGAGAUAUAUUUGUGAGUCAAGUUUGUACUUUCUGAAGUUUGAUUUUCUCUCAAUGUCCAUUUAACGUAUAUAGAAUCUGUUCUUUGAGGCUAAUCUAUUUCUCUCUUUCUAUGCGUGGAUCUGCCUCACCGAGUCCACGGGACUCCAAUCCUUACAUCCCUUCGGGCAAAGCUCAUUCUUUCAAGUCAAAAAAUGGAUUAAUGAGCAAAAACAGUUGUUGGUAUACACUGAUAUACACCAUAUUUAUGGGCUUUGCGUGUUAAAAGUAGCUGGUAUAUACUCAAUAUAUGAUGCAUUGCAAAAUUGAAAGCAAGUGUACGAAUUUGCAUACAUGGAUAUACAUCAGAUUAGCAAAAACGCAGGGGAAAAAUAUUUGCAGUAUACAGAUGAUAUACACUGAAAUAAUGGACAGAAAUCCAUGGGAUUUAGGCCCAAAAGCUGGCCAGCCCAUUAAUGGGCCAAAAGGGCCCUAUUUUAACUCUUUUUUUUAUGGGAAAAGGACACCCCAUGGCACUUUUAAAAAAUAAUGGCCCAUGUUUCAAGUUUUGGAAAGAAAUAACACUUCAGAUCUUUUUAAUACCAUUUUUAGCCCUUCCUUUAAUAAGGCAUAAUUCUAUUAGCUAAAGGAAAAAAAAGACCUACAGGUGUCCUUUUUCCGAAAAUAAAAAGACUUAACUGCUAAGUACAAUGUCCUUUUUUCUAGUAUUCUUUUCGAUUAGGGUUUUCUGAAGUCUGUGGUGAUGAAAUUCAAGAAAAAGCUUAAUAUUGAUUCGAAAUUAGCUGGUAAAGGUAUUAGAUAUGAUUCUAAUUUCGCUGUUAGUGAUGAUGAUUUUGAAGAUUUAACAAAUCGUGAUGUUCAGUUGAAGAAUUUGAAGAAUGUUCAUCCUACUUCCAGUCGAAUUAUUAGGUCUCAAGGUAAAUUAUUAGGUGAUCCAUCAAUGGCGGAACAAAAAAAUCAGCUAAAAAAGGCAAAUAGAUGUGAGUGGUGAAGCAGAUCUUGUUGUUCUUCCCAAAAAAAUAAAAAAAAGGAGUCAUUCAAAAAAUGAUGAAGAUGAUGGUAAGUCAUCUAAAGGAAAGAAAAAGAUAAGUGUGAAUGAUAAAGGAGAUACUCUUGUUCCUCCAAAAAAAAAAAAAGAAUUGAUCAAAUGAUGGAGAAGAUGAUGCUCAAUCAUCCAAAAAGAAAAGUAAAAUGGUUUAUGUUCAUUGGAAGAGAAAAAUAUCCAAAUUAACUGAUUUUGGUGUGUGCUUUCUAUCUAUUAAUUAUGUUUGAUAGUUAUUUUAAUUUUUUGUGUUGAAUUUGUGUAUGUUUGAAAUAUGUGUGUUAUUGUUGUAUAUAACAUGUGUCGGUAUUGUAUAUGAAAUAUAUAGGGUUGAGAUAUUUGUGUAAUUUAGUGUAUAGUGGCUAUAUAAUUUUGAGAUAUGUGAUGUUAUUACUAUUUGUGCAUCAACAAUAUAUAAAAAAAUGUGUAUAGUUUGUAUCUUUAUAUUGUUACUAUGUAAAAUUUGUAAUAGUGUAGUAAUGAAUACUUUAUGAGUAAUAUAUGUAGCUUUUUGAAAUAUCUAGACCUUAAAGUACACUAACUUAUUGCAGGUUUGGGAUUUGUUUCUUGGUCCAUCUGAUCAUUACAACUGUCAGCUCAGUGUGCACACAAACUGUGGUAUUAUGAUUGCCUUGAAAUCUAAGUUGGAUAAGAAGCAACUUAAUUUAUUUAAGAAUAGUUGCUUUGGAUAUUUCUUAUCUUUACCAAAUAUUUUUCCUCAAAAUCAACUUAUUCAUGGAAUAUUGCUUAGGAAACUUGUUUGUGAGAGAGAUGAUGAAAUAUGGAUUAAAGUGAAUAACACUAAGUUACGAUUUGACUUAUAAGAGUUUUCUAUAAUUAGCGACUUAAAAUGUAUUGAAAAUUACAAUAACGAGUUUGCUCUUACUCAAAUUUUCCAGAAAAAUUCAAGGUCACAAAACUUGAUUCAGAAAGUGUUUCAUGGAAAAAAGGUGACAAUGUGAUGAAAAUGCUUUACAAAUUUUUAUUUUGUUCUUUAUUAAUACCUUUAUUUUUUCUAUCACGUAUAGUGAUGUUAUAACAAAGAAUAAUUUCUCAUUGGUAGAAUCUGGAAACUAUAAAACAUUUUCUUGGGAAAAAUUUUGUUUUCGUCUGAUGUUGGAGUCAAUGAAGUCUAAGGUUUAUUAGAGAAAAAUUAUGUAUCGUUGUGCUGGUUUCCCCUUAGCAUUUAAGUGUUGGUUUUAUGAGUGUUGUCCUUAUGUUGAUGGUCAUCUUGCUGAUCGAGUUGGUGAUGGUGUGCCACGUAUACUUAAUUGGUUUGUAAAGCAUAAACCAACGUACAAGGAGUUUGCAUUUUUUGAUAUUAGGCAAGAGAGGGUAUAUAGUUGUUUUAAAAUGUAAUGUAUAUAUGUUUUGUUAAAUGGUUAUGUGCUUUUUAACUGUCGGUGUUGUUUUGUAUGUGCAGGUAGUGUUGAGUAAUAUUACGCCGACGAUUCUUGAAAAAUCAAUCCUUUAAUUACCUGAUUUCAAAUCUGUGAAUGCGGUUGUGAACUGUGUUGAUUUGCCUGGUACCAAUAAAUAAGAAUGUAGUCAUUUGAGCUCAGAUAAUGAAUUGACACUUUUGAGAAGUGAUGUUAAAAUGGUACGUGGAAGGUUUUUAUUAAUAUUUGUAUGUUUUUGUUAAUUGAUGUUUUGACUUUUUUCUUUUUAUGUUUAGUUAACGGAAAAGGUUUCCUCGAUGGAGAAGUUUAUGAAAUCCUCAUUUGAAUUGAUUUUUCGAGCUCUACAUAUAAAGAAUGAAUCUAAGGUAUUCUUUUCCUGAAAUUUUCCUGUUUUUUUUAACAAAACUUAUAUACACUAUUGUAAUUAUUUUACAAAGUUUUUUGUACAGCUUGCUACAUCAAAUGGGGAUAACAAUGGUGACAAUUUAAAGAAAAAGAUGAUUAUACACCUAAUGUUGGUGGUAUAGGUGAUGAUCAAGUUGAUGAUCCACUUAAUGUGGGACAACAAAAUGUUGUUGCCCCGGAACUGAAUCAUAUAAGUGACAAUUUGAUGGAUGAUGUAGGGGUGGUGAUGUAUUUGAUCAUUUGGUGGAUGACGUUGGAGAGAGUUAAUUUUGUAGGUGAUUAUGUAGUUGGUCAUGUCGAUGUUGAGUCUGCGGCCGAAACUUUCAAGGAUGGUGCUUGGAAGAAUUUUUCAAAUUUUGAUGGUGUUUGGAAGAAUUUUUCAAAUUUUGAUUUUUUGAAAUUCACACAAAGCUCAGGUGAAAAUAAGGUUAUAGGGAGGGUAGAAAUAGUCAGGUUGACAGUGAUUGGUCCAAUUUUACUGAUUCUGAAGUGUUCAAAUUUACUCAAUCUUUUCGUGAUAAAAAAUACAAAAAGAAGGUGAUGUGGCAGUGCUUAGCCAGAAUGAGUUUGAUUGGUUAGAAAUUUCAGAUGUUGAAAUUUCUAAGUUCACUCAACCCGAUAAGAGUGUUGUAAUGAUUGAUGCAACUGGUUUAGUAUGUGAUAAUGUUAGAAAGGUUGAUGCAAAUGCAAGUGAUAAUGUUAGAGGGAUUGAGGAAAAUAUAGUGGUUGCCUCUGUUAUGUUGGCUGAAACACCUGUUAUUCCUUGCUAUGUGAAUCGUCAUUUUUGUCAAAAUUUGAUUCUGGUUGUGGCAAAGUUGAAGGUCAACCAUCUAAGCGUAUAGAGAAUGCUUAGCCAAGAAAACGCCUUUUGUCUAUAAAGCAUUCUUUUGUGAAGAUUAUUACGGAGCGAAUUGAUGAUAUGAGACUGACAUUAUAGUUUAACAGGUUUGUUGCCAGAUCAUUGUACAUUAAAUAGAUCCAAGUUUUCUGUUUGUAGUUUUUUUUUCGUUUUACUUUAUUUUGUCAUAUAUUAUAAUUUUUGUAACAUUUUUUCACAUGUCUGUUUAUUCAGAUUCUAUCAAUGCUCUCCCAAAAUAAUUUGACUAUGAAGUUGAUACCGUUAAAAUGAAAGAGUGGUUACAUUGGCAUAUCCAGAAAUACCCUUAACCGAUUAAGUAAGUAAUGAAUUUAUUAGUUAAGUAGGUUAUAUAGCUUUUAUGUUUGUACUUGAUAGUGAUAAGCUAAUUGGAAUAUUAAAUUUUUGUUUAUGAUGCAUGUUAUAUAAGUAGUUUGUAUUUAUUAGAUUUUAAUUAGUGUUCUGUAUUUAUUUUUAGCAUUUUAAUGUGGUUUUAUUGUUCGUAUUUUCAGCAUGUUGAUGUUAUCUUUUACUAUUUGCGAAAGAAGUCAAAAUACGAGCCUAUUGAUGGUUCAAUUAAAUUUACAAUCACCGGUUGUUGGUUUAACUGCUUGAUUCAAACUUUAUAUAAGCGUUUAUGGAGAACAAUGAAAAUGUAACACUUAUCACUCAAGAACAUUAAAUUGUUGAGUACAUGCUUGAAUUUUUUAUGAGAUGCAAAGUCCCAUGGAAUAGCAUUGACAACGUUCUUUUCCCAAUUAAUCUCGUUGAGGAGUUUUACUGAAUUUUGGCGAGGCCGUGUUUUAAAGAUCAGUGCAUAUAUGUGUAUGAUUCAAUGCAUGGUGCAAGGCAUAUCAUUCGUGUUCAGAAAUUAGUUGCAGCGUAUUCAGAGUUAAUUCCACACUUUUUUCUUGUAUUGAAUUUUGGAAAGUAGGACGAUGGACUUUCAGUGGCUAAUUCUUUUGAUAUUAGUAUUGUUGAUGGACUACCAACUCAAGCCAACACGUAAUAUAUUGAAUAAACAUUCAGUUGCUCAUUUUUAAAUAAUUUUUUGUCAACUAUACUGAUGAUGUAUUAUGUUGCAAGGACUGUGAUGUAUUUGUUGUUGCCUUUUCUGAGUAUUUGCUUGAUGGUCUUGAAAUUUCUAAUCAUCUAGAUAAUAUUAAUGCUAUUCAAAUUCGGUAUGGUGUGUUGUUGUGGAAUUAUGGAAAGAAGAAAUAAAGACAAUGUGCAGUUAGUGAAGAUGAAUCUAUUGGUCAAUCGUUGAAGAAAAAUGAUGGUGUGCAGCAAAUUUAGUUAGGAAUGUCUUUAAAGCAUAGAUGUGAAAUAUAUGUUUAGUGUUGAAAUGCUUAGUGUUGUUUUUGUUUUGUGUUGAUACACUGGAGAUUCUUAUCGUGAAAUGUUAUGUUGAAUACUGUAUGUUUUGACAUUUGAUAUAAUUUUGUACAAGUGAUUUUUGAUUUUAUGAAAAGACAAUAGUAGUGCAUCUGUUAGUUUAUUUUGAUCACAAUUUAUAUGCAAUAUAGUUUAUAUGCAACAUUGAUUUAGUUUCUAUGCAGUAGUUACACGGUUUAACUAAGGUAUUUCUACAAUUUCAUACAUUUAUCCCAACCACAUAGAACUUAUAUAUUGUUGAAAUAAAGUAGUUAUAUAGUUUAUAAAAGUAGUUUUAUAAUUUAUAUUCAAAAUAUAGAGGUGCUAUGCAUUCGCUAAUUAAUGUUAGUCCUAUAUCCAAACCAUAUAGAGGUCCUAUAUAUGAUUGGCACUGAUAUAUAUCAGUGCAGUAUAAAUCUACCAUUACUGUUUUAACAUGUGAAGUGUUAUUUAAACAAGACGUUAAAGAAAAAAUGAAGUAAAAUAAUUUAGAUGACUAUUCUUAUGAUUAAACUGUUAAAUGUAUUUUUAAGAAAUGUGCGAAAAAUUCAAAAGAAAAAUACUACUACUUAUAUAUUCAACCUGUAUAUAGGUAUUAUACAUCACUGACACAGAUAAUAUGCAAUCUUUUUAGGUAUUGUCGAAGAAAAACUACCCUUCCCAACUCAAAGGAGUUGAUUAGUGCACAACACCAAAGAAUGUGCCUAAAAUGAAUGAAAUACCAUAAUGCACAGAUUUCUAUAGUUAGAGUACGAAUGAAAUUGAAAUUAGAUAAUUUCACCAUAAAAAGACAUAAGCAUUAUUCUAUAAACUGAAAGUGUUGUUGAAGUAAAAUAAUAUCGUUGUAGCGGAGGCUAUUACAUUGCUAUGUAAAGAAUAGUCUUUUUUCAAGGAAAAAAAAUGAGAAAGAUAGAAGUAUUCUUGUAGCAACAUCCUAUUAGAUUCUUGUUGGAGCAUUUCCACAUGUUCUUCGAUUGUGUUUUAUUUUUCCACACCGUCCACAUGAAAUUUGUUGCUUAAAGUAGUCCAUAAUGCCCUUUCCUCGAUUGUUAUUUUUUGAUCUACCUGGUCUUGAUUUUCAUUGGUGGCAAUACUAUAUUAGCUGAUAUCUCUGAUGGAAUGUGCCAAGCUAUUUCAUCAGGAAGUGGUAUAACUGAAAGUUCAUAUGCUUUUAAGAAAUUUUUUUUUGUGUAAUAUAAAGCACAAUAGCUUUGUAAGUCCAUAUGCGUGUAAGUUAGCACCGCCAUAGCAUGUGGACACGGUAUGCCAUCUGCUUGAAAUUAUAAGUGAGAGUAUUUUUUUAACGCAUGCAUAAAAGGUUUUGUUUUCUAGUUUCGUCAAUCACUACAUAAGAAUAGUGAGUAGAACCCAUCGCCUGCAAUGUACAAAUGUAUUAGUAAAUAGUGUGGCACAUUAGAAUAUGUAAGUGUCUGUGAAGUAGAAAUAAGAAGUUAUACCUUCAUUUUAUCUGACAGAAUGAGAUUUUUCCUUGUUAUUAUAUUGUAUUUGUUUCCCAGUUCUGUAAAUAUUGCUUCCAAAUGUUGUCUAUGUUUAUUAUUUCAUCUCAUGACCGGAUCCAUCAUGAAUUGUAGAAAUUUUUUAAUUGACAGGUCUCUUGCAUCUCUAUUUGAUGAAUUUAGGGACUCUGCUAUGUUUGAAGUCAUGAACAUCGACCUGUUAACAUGUGAAUGAGAUAUGGACCAUUUUUCAUAGCCUAUAUCAAAUAGAUACUCCUUCACCCUAUUAUCAAUUUUGUUUAUUUCUUUUAUAAGACGAUCAAAGUCUGUCUUUAUGUAUGUUCUGGCCAUUGUAAAGAAGAUCCCCUUUAAUUACUUUUGAUUCUUCUUAAAUCUACCCUUGAUGUUGUUCCAUAGAUGGUAGAUGCAUAUACAAUGAGCCACAUUUGGAUAUACAAUUGCUGCAUCUUUUAAUAUGCUAUCAUGCCUCUCAGAUACUAUGCGCAUGCCUUCUCUUUCUCCAAAAGUAAUGUUAAAUAUGCGAAAAAACUAUUCCCAUGAAGCGUCAUUUUCAUAAUCAACAACAACAUAUACUAGUGGAAAAAUAUGUCCUGAUUAAGCAAGUGAAAAAGUGUCUAUCAGUGCAUGACAGCAUAUACAUUAUUUUGUCUAAAUAAGUUUCAGAAAACUCACUUGCUGGAUCCAACACACUAGAAGACAAUAUUGUCCCCUUGUAUGCAGAUUUUGGAAAAGUUUCAUCAACAAUAAUAAUAGGCAUACAAUAUCUCCUGACCUUAAUUGAUGUGUUCAACACGAUAAAAGCAUAUAAAAUGUGAUUGUCCUUCGUUUGGUGUAGCCUUGUGAGCAAUUCUGAAUUUAUUGUGUUUACCAUGUAUAGGUAAGCUGACAAUUUAGCAUAAAAUUUACGCAGGAAACCUCUAACCAGUUCAAGUGCUUUUUCUUUGGCUCUAUAUGCUUUUUUGUAGUUCAUCCUAAUUUUAUACAAGUUUCUCAUUUCAUCCAUGAUCUCUGUUGGAGUGUAUCUUGACUUUAAAUUUAGAAAGUUGUGCUUCACCAUUUUAACAAUGGUUAAUGAAGUAGCAUGUCGUUGUGAAAGUAUUCAGUCUGUAAUUGGACAGGUGGGAUCAUCAACAAAUUUUGUCACCAUGAAAACUAUUGAAUUUUGUUGACUUGAAGAUCUAAAAAUUCAACUGCAUCUUUGAUUGAUACACUUAAGAUAGUACCUAGAUACAUUUAUAUACAAUAAUGGUAUAUUUAUAUAAUAUGGGUAUACAGUAGGUACACAGUUCAUAUGCAGUAUUUUAUAUGCAGUAUAUAUAUAGAUCAUAUACAGUAGUUACACAGUAGGUACACAAUUUAUAUGCAGUACUUUAUAUACAGUAUAUAUACAGGUCCUAUACAGUAGUUACACAGUAGGUACAUAGUUUAUAUGCAGUAUAUAUACAGGUCCUAUGUAGUAGUUACACAAUUAUAUGAAGUAUUUAGGCAAGUUUAUACCUAUAUUUCAACAAAAUAUAAAUCUUAUACAUUGUUGAUACAGGUUAUAUAAAGUAGUUAUAUAGUUUAAUAUCCAAUAUAUAUGCAUAUUCUAUACAGUAGUUACACAAUUUAUAUGUAGUAUUUAGGCAAGUUCAUUGUUAUAUCCAAACAACAUAUAGACCUUAUACAUUGUUGAUACAUGUUAUAUAAAAUAGUUAUAUAGUUUAACAUCGAUAUACAUAUCAACAAAUUUUGUCACCAUGAAAACUUCUGAAUUUUGUUGACUUAAAGAUCUAAAAGUCCAAUUGCAUCUCUGAUUGAUACAGUUAAGAUAGUACCUAGAUACAUUUAUGUACAAUAAUGGUACAUUUAUAUAAUAUGGGUAUACAGUAGGUACACAGUUCAUAUGCAGUAUAUAUACAGGUCCUACAAAGUAGGUACACAGUUCAUAUGCAGUACUUUAUAUGCAGUAUAUAUACAGGUUCUAUACAGUAGUUACACAAUAGGUACAUAGUUUAUAUGCAGUAUAUAUAGGUCCUAUGCAGUAGUUACACAAUUAUAUGCAGUAUUUAGGCAAGUUUAUACCUAUAUUCCAACAAAAUAUAAACUUUUAUACAUUGUUGAUACAUGUUAUAUAAAGUAGUUAUAGAGUUUAUACCUUGAUGAUGAUGAUAUUUUCACCUUAAAUUGAAAUAUCUCACAGAUUGCAUAAUAUCUCGUCAAACUUGAUACUGUAUUUUUAUCCUAGUACAGUUGUUCUUCUUCAACAUCUCUAUGAAGUGGAUCUUUUAUUAUAGAUUCGGGUUCUUCUUCCAUUUCUUCCUUAGAAGAAUUAUCUUCAAUUGUAUAAUCAGCAAUAGGUAUUGGAUGAACUUGAAUAGCAGUCGGAGAUAUUUCAAUCAAAUUUUCAAUUGAAGAUUUUCCAUUUUCAAAUGCGUUUUGUAAUGUUAUACACAAUGAAAAUUCAUUUAUAUUCAAAAAAAAAUUUCUUCAUCUCCAUAUAAAGUCUAACACUCAUAUCAUUGAAAAUAGUGAUAAAUUCACUCUUUACAAUGUAUUUUAUCAUCAUUAAACCAGAAUUUCGCUCUAGAUUCAACUGCUUAUACAGUUCAUCAAUAAAAUAUUCGUACCUGCAAUCCGAAUUCAAAAGUACUCCAUUGAUUGUAAUUUUUUCAAAUUAGAUAUCACUUAAUCACUCUCCUCCGUAUUGUAGCAUAAUUGAAACUAAAACUGAACUUGAAACCAUAAUUUCGUAUCAAUUUCAGCUAAUUGUGAAUGAAAAAUACUUUAUGAAGCUAGUUGACUGAGGAUUUUUAUAGAUUUAUAUACAAUUUAUGAAAAUAUUUCAGGUAAUAUGUUUUAUCUGAAAAAGGAAUUGUGAGGUUUUAAUGAAAAGGGAAUCCUGAGGUAAAAUUGAGGAAGGAAAGUAUGAGUUUUAAUCGAAAAGAAAAUAUAUUUAUUAGCCUAAUUUCGUGGUAUUUUUUUAUGGUUAGACGAUGGAAUUAGUUUAACGGCUAUUAAGAGGGAAUUAAAAUUAGGAGCUAUUUUUGCGGAAUUAGUUUUAUGCAAGGGGCUAUUUUUGUCAUUCUUUAUUUCCCAUUCUUACUUAUUUGUAUUUACUUGAACACUCUAACUAAUCAAUCUAGAUAAAUUUCCUAAGACGUUUCCAUUCUAUUUUAUCACAACUUUUAGUCAAUUCGCAGUUUUCUCACCUAAUUCAUCUCGUCUAAAAGAAUUAAAGUGGUUCUGUCAAUUUUUAUUUUUUUUAUUUUUAGUUAUUUAAUUUUUCUCUAAAACUAAUCUUAAAAGAAAAGUUGUUAAGCAUUUUAUUUUAAAAUGACAUUUGUCUUGUUCAUAUGACUAACAGCCUACUUGGGUUAAAAUAAUUUACUUCAAACCAAGAAAAUUAAUUUUUUUCAUUAACCCUAAUUUUUCAUAAUUGAUAAAAUAUUUUUAACAUGACAUUUCCCUAACAUUUUCCAAAAGUGUUAUCUAUAACAAAAUUGACCUUUUUCUUUUAUGUAUAUAUAAUAAAAGAAAUGAUACUAAUGAUAAUGAUGAUAAUAAUAAAAAAUAAUUAUGUAAUUUCUUUUUUUAUCAUAAAAACACAAACUUAUUUCCUUCUUAAAUUCAAGUGUACCACUUAAUUUAAAUAGGUUUCUCUUUAAUUCAAGUAGAAUAUUUCGUAAUUUUUUUUCUUAGAAAUAACUAUGAAAUAAAUAGAAUUUUCUCAAUUAGAAUGUUCCUUGGCUUUUUUUCUCAAAUUCAAACUUUUCGUGAUUAAUUUUGAAUUAAGUAAAGUAUUUCUCGAGUAGAAUAUUUUGUAACGUCUCUAAAAAGUCAAUCGUGAAUUAAGCGAAAUAUUUCAUAUUUUUUCUUAGAAAUUAGUAAUGGAUUAAACGACACAUGUUGUAGAUUUUUCUAAUACAAGUAGGAUAUUUCUCGUUUGAAUAAAUAAAUGUCAAUUUUAAAUAUAUAAAUAAAUAAUUUUAUAAAAGCAACCCUUUUGCAAAGUUAGUCAUCCUUUCAAGUUAGUCAAAAAUGAUCUUUUGGUGAACCAUUUUAAAACAGAAGCUCCUAGUGUCGUAAAAACCUUCUUAAGGCGUUAAUUGAACCCUUAUUUAGUUUCUCUAAUUUCAAAGAUUUAUUUCUAUUUUUGAAUCUUUGAAAUUUCUUAAAGUGUUUUUCUUGAUAUUUUUUUCUAUAAAAAUCAAGUGGCGAUUCUGUAAAUUCUUAAAAAAAUUAUUUUGAAUUUUUGAAAUAAUUUUAAAGAGGUCAAAACCAUUUUCUUCAAAAUAAAAUUUGAAAAGGGAUAAAACAAAAUGAAUGGGUUAUGUGAAACUUGUUUUAAUUAGGCUUAAAGGGGGUUGUGCAGCUAGGCCGUAAAGGUGAGGUCUCGGAAGGACUGAUACUGAAACUCACGUUUGUUGGCGUAAGGGUUGGUCUUGAUGACUAUGUGCUUGUGUCAAACACACACACACACACACACACACACUAUAUAUANNNNNNNNNNNNNNNNNNNNNNNNNNNNNNNNNNNNNNNNNNNNNNNNNNNNNNNNNNNNNNNNUAUAUAUAUGCAUCCUGGAUUGACGUGGGGUCGGGGCAUUCCUUGGAUAUCUCUAGUUAGUGCGACGAACAGGCACUGGGGCCCUUUCAGCAGAGGGAGAUGGACCCAUAUAGCCCAUGGGUGUUUUUAUAACGGUUGAGCUACACGGUCCAAGCUAAUAUUUUACUUUCAUGCUAAACCUCAUUUUCUAUCCCGACAUAUUAUAUAUAUGUAUAUGAUUGUGUCAUUAGUUUUGAAUGGUUUUAGACUGACUCAAUCAUGACAUUAUUUUUUCCUUAUCCUGAGUUACAUGCUAGCACUUACCUCGCUAACCGUCUCCGAAUGUUGUAUCCCCACGCGAUGCAGGAUCGGAGACACUUUUAUUUUUUCUGCGUAAUGUUAGGUGAUCCAUAGAUUGCUCGUGAGUCAUCUUGAAAUGGUGAGCUUCUAUUCUUCGGAAGACCCUCAGCUCUUGUUUUGGUUUCACUAUGUCGUAGACUAUUUUCAGUUUCUUUUUUGCUAUCGUCGAGGGUAUGUCCCGACUUAGAUUGAUGUUGAUUUCUUAGAGGCUUAUGGAUUACUGUGGAUUGGGAUGGUUGUUGAAAUUCUUAGAUUUUUUUUUGGGUUAAUUGAAUUGCCUAUCUUGUUAUAUGUUUGAAAUUCAUCUGCUGGUAUUUGUAUUGUAUUCUGAUUGGCUAGGGUAAAGGGAGUGGUCUCCGAUCCUCGACGGACUUGAGGUACCUGUCACGAUCAGACCCUGAUUUGGAUCGUGACACCCCCACAAAAAAGAAGAAGCUAAACAACUCAUAUUUCAAAUAUUGUAUCGAUUGAUAUCUGAUUUAAUUUAACAACGGACAACUCUCUCUAAAUAAUAAAAUUUCUAAGCUAAUUUAUUAAAUAAAUUUAUUAGUACAAAUAUAAAAAAAAUCAAGAAAUAAAAAAAUACUUAAAAGAAUUUGAAGAAUAUUUUUAUUUUUAUAUAUAUUAGUUUCAUAGUAUUAAAUCUUAUGUAUUACUAAUACCACAAAAUAGAAGGUAUUAGUUAUUCAAUCAAUAAUAUCAAGUAGGGUGUAUUAUUAGUUAUACAUAAGCCCAAAUUCCUACCAAACAUAGUACUAAAUAAAAAGAAUUAAAGAAAGUAGCAUACUUGAGAUUAUAAUUACAAUAAAUAUCAAUAUUUUUAUAAAAUUACAGAUUAUAGCAGCGGUAGCAUUAUUUUAUUCAUUAACUAGGCAAGUGCAUGUUUUACUCUUAUUACCUUACAUUUUCCUAUUUUCGCCCCACUAUUUCACCUCCCCAAAAUAUAGCAUAUCUUUUACCCUUUUUUGUCACCUUAUUUUCUUUAUCAUUUUUUUUUAAUUUUAUUUUUAUUUUUUUUGUAUUUGCACUUUAUUUUCUCUCUUAUAUUUCUCUUCUUUUUUCCUUUUUCCUUUUUUUUUUUGUUUUUUUUUCUUUUUCAUAUUUGAAGAUAAUUAUCUUCAUGAUCUGCAAAAUUUCAAAAUAAAACAUCAUUAUUGUCUUUCACUAUCUUAUGUCUCUACCCUUUUUUUUUCUUGUUAACUUUUUUUAUCUUAUUUUUUUAUCAUUUUAUUUUUUAUUUUGAUUUCUUUUUUUUUUUUAUUUCCACUUUAUUUUCUCUUUUCUAUUUCUCUUUUUUUUCUUUCCUUUUUCCUUUUUGUUUUUCUUCCUUUCUCAUAUCUUUUUUUUCUUUUUCUAUUUUCAUUUUCUUCUUCUUUUUUUAUUUUAUUUUGUUUCUUUUUUCUUUUAUUUUUGCACUUCUAUUUCUCUUUCUUUUUUUUUUUCCCUUUUUCAAUUCUUGUUUUUUCAUUUUUUUCUUUUUAUAUUUUUGUUUUUUCCCCUUUUUUACUCUUCUAUCUCUAACUUUUAUUUUGAAAAGACAAAUAUGUAUAUCACAUACACAUAUUCAAAAAAUAUACAAAAUACAUAGCCAUACAGAUCUGGAUAUGUAUUUAUGAUACAAAACAUACAUAUGUAUUUACGAUAUACAUAUCAUAUUCAUAUUAAACAGUAACAAAAAUAACUAUACUGUAUAUCUUCAUAUAUAUUUGCGAAAUUCAAAGGUGACUCAUAUAAAAUAAGAAUAUACAUAUGAAGCAGGUAUUAUUCUGUAAAUACAUAAGUAGAGCUAUAUGUAUUUUAUACGGUAUUGGAUUUAUCUUUGAACUGUACAUACCAUGACAUUUUAGAGGGUAACAUAUGUACUUAUUUGUUUUCUUUUACUGUUUAAGAUAUCUAUCAUGUAUUUUUUUAUUACCUUUAUGUAUAUGUAUAUAAUUGUCAUUUUGUUAUACAGAGUUUGUGUCAUAUAUGUUUACAUAUACAUGUGAGUCAGAUAUGUAUUUCUGUAAAUACAUAUGCAUAUUUUUUUUACCGCAAAUACAUAUGCAGGUCUGUAUGUCUAUUUAAUUUGUAUAUUUUUUUAAUAUGUAUAUAUCAUAUAGAUAUUCAUCUUUUAAAAAUAAAAUAUAAAGAUAGAAGAGUAAAAAAAAAAGGAAAAAGGAAAAAAUAAGAAAGAGAAAUAGAAACUAGAAAUACAAGUGUAAAAACAAAAGCAAAAAAAAAAACGAAAAAGAAGAAGAAGAAGAAAACGAAAAAAAUAUGAGAAAAGAAAAAAAAAAAGAAAACGAAAAAAGAAAAAAUAAAUAAAAAAGGAAAAAGAAAAAAAAAGUAGAAGAGAAAAAAUAAAGUGAAAAAGAAAAAGAAAUUAAAAUGAAAAAAAAAAGAUAAAAAAAAUGAAAAAACUAAAAAAAUAAAUAGUUAAAAUAAAUAGUUAGAGAUGUAAGAGAAUGAUAUUUUGAAAUUUUGAAAAUUAUGAAAAUAAUAAUCUUCAUAUUUGAUUUUGAUUUGGAAAAGGAAUCUACUAAUAUAAAUAAGAGUAAUUUAUGAGAAUUUAAUUAGAUGUGAUAAUUAUUCCUUAUUUAACUCAACUAAUUUGAAUAAAACAAAGACAGUAAAUCUUGUUGUAUAUGAAUUUGUAUAGCAACAAUUUACUUAAAUACAAAAUACAAUUUGUUAUUUUUUGUAAUUAUCUGUUGCUAUAAAAAUUACAAUUAAGGCUCUAUAAUUACUAUUUCUGAAAUUUUUCCUACUAAAUAAUAUCAUACAUAAUAUAUGGAUUAUUUCUCCUAAUACACCCUACCAAACGGAUUCCUCAGUGGAUCCAAAAAAAGAUGGCCCAUAUCAAAGAAGGAAAAAAUCAGAGCCAAGCCAUGUGAUAGACGCUAGAGAAGUGGGAGCUUUGAUUGUUAUAUUUGUUGUUUGAUUGGGAAAGACUUAUUUUGAGAUAAUUAAUUUUGAGAUUAUUUAUUUUGAAAAUUAUUUUCUCACUAUAUAUAUGGGAUAAUUUAUCCAUCACUAUGUUAUAGUGGGAUAAAUAAUCCUAGUACUAAUUAAUAUCUCACAUUAAAUAUGAAAUAAAAUAGUCCUUCAUUUUAUUCGAGACUAUUUAUCCCUUAUACCUCACACCAAACGAAGUAGUCAGCCACUUAUAUCUCACACUUGCUUUGCUACUGGUCCAGUUUUAAUACUAUAUGAAAUCUAGGACGAAUAAAAGAUAAUUAAUUUUAAGAUGAACUUAUUUCAUAUUUAGUUGACAUAAAAUGUAUGAAAUAAUUCAUCUAUAAAUUAGUUAUCACGAGAUUGCGAUUUAUUUUUAUUCCUUUUGUGGGUUGAAUAAUUAAUUUUAGAAUAGCUAGUCUUAAAAUUUAUAAUUUUAAAAUAAUUUAUUUUUCAAUCAAAUGAUCCAGUAAAGCCAAUUUGGAAAAGCAGAGACACAAAACUUUUCGUUAAAUUUGAAACAACUAGAGAGAAUGAAAAGCUUGUAUGCUUUGUGGAUCAGUCAAAUCUACGAAUAGAGAAGAGAAAAUUUCUCAAAUGAGAAAUAUUCUCAUUUUCAAUUCAAAAAUUGUACUCCUUUUAUUUUGGAAUAAGUGAAUUGUUGGGGUAUUUAUUGGUAUUUUAAAAUAAGUUAAUCAUUAAUUUUUUUUUUUUAAAUUUGCCCUUAUGAUUUGACAAUCAAUUAACUUUUAAAAAAGUAUUACAAGAUAAAUUUUUCUUUUUUUAGGUAAAAAUAAAAAAUUAUGUUAAAUUUAUGUAUUUAAUAUUUUUUCUUAAUAUAUGUGUCAAAAUUUCAUAAUUUAUUAAAACGGAGGGAGUAAGUUUGAGUCACAAAAAGAUCCAAAAAAAAAAAAAAAAAAAAAAAAAAAAAAAAAACAAAGAAAAAAAAAAGUGAGCUCAUGGUAAAAAACCUGUACAGUUUUGCGGCCGAGAAAGUUUAUGGAUAUUCGAUUCAAACGCUGUCAUUUGAUUAGUCGCAACAACUUGUACGUGCACGCACUUCAAAGAACUUUAAAUAUACAAGGUUUGAUGUUACUUUCGACAAAAUCUAACUUCACCCAUAAUGUACAAAAUUUCAUAUGGCUUGAGGUAUGUCAUUUUUGUCAAAUAGAAUCACAUUUUGUUCAAACUUAGCCUUUCAUGGCUAAAGUUCAAUAAAAUGACUGAAAUCCAAUUAUUUUUACCUAAAAUAAAAAUAAUUGAAAUUCAAUUACCUUUACCUAAAAUCGAUACUCAUUUCAGACAUUGUGUCUGAAGUUUAAUUUAAAUAUAACUUAUAUAAAUUUUAAAUUUUAAUAGGUUGUAAUAUUUUUAUCAUAAUUUUAUUAAAUUACAAGAUAUUCUGAAUUUUGAUUUUUGUAAUACAUAUUGUUAGCCUUGAUACAUAUGCAUUGUAAUACAUUUGUAACUGAGUGGUUAGUUAAAUAAAAAAGUAACUGAUUUUCAAUUAUUAUGGAGAAGUAAAUCACGCGCAAAUCAUGACAUAAAAUUAAGAAAGUAACUAAUUUAUCAUUAUGAUAUAUCUGGUAAAAUUAUUCAAUAUCUCAUUCAAAAUUCAAUCUCAAAUAAAAAUAAACAGUUUACAUAUGUCAAACAUAUGUUAAAUGUACCAAACACUUAUAACUGAAUCGAAAAGUAUUUAUCAUAUGUAUCACCAGUAUUCUGACGACAAAUGUAUCACUUAUAUCUAUCACCAAUAUACUGAUAUCAAAUGUACCACUCAUAUGUAUCACUGUUUACAAUACGAAAAUAUAUCGAGAAUUUAACAACAUUAUAUAUGUAUCAAACACAUUAAUCAAAAAUAUAUGUAUCGAUGCCGACAGACCAUUGCAGUGGUCAUCCUCAUUGUCAUGGUUCCGUCGAAAAUUUUGAGAUUUUUUAGCUUCUACAGUAUGAAAAUUCUUUAAAAGAACAUGAAUAUUUGUCAACAUGAAGCACACAGUAAAACUUUUAAAAUUUUAAGAAAAAAAAUUAAUAUAGAUGGAAAAAAAUUGAACCAAAUUAUAAAUUGCAAAUGAUAAGACUAAAUGAAAAAAAUUUUAAUUUGAGUUUUUUGUUCUAGAUAUUUAAGAAAUUCUCUCCCAUUAUUUACUCUCCUAAAUAAAUGAAAUCUGUUACUUUCUUAUUUAAUAUGUAUCAAGAGAGAAAGAAAGAAUAUGAAAUAUUAUGAAAUGUUUUAAAAGAUAAGUGAUUUUAUAUAUUUAUGCCUCUUAAAUUUAUAUUUUUGCGUAAUUUAUUCUUAAAUAAAAUCUAUUUUCAUGUGUGAAUGUUUAAAAUUUUGUUCUUGUGGGACUUACUAACACAUAUAUAUAGCAUGCUUGAAUACGCUUAUUUUUCUUUCAAAAAGCUUAUUUUUUCUCAAAAGUACUUAGAGGGUGUUUGGAUGAUAUUAAAAGUUGGUCAAAAUAGCUUUUAAGUUAUUUUUUUACUUUUUGAAGUAUUUGAAAAAUUGUAUUAAAAAAAUCAAAAAUUAUUUUUUUAAAGCCAAAAGUAUCUUGACCCCUACUUUUUUAUUUUUGGCUUAAAAGUCAUUCUAGUUUGACCAAGUAAAAGACAUCUUUUUCCCUCAUAAUUCUCACAUAUUUUAAAAUUACCCUCAUGUUUGUCUCAUAACAUUUGUUUACUUCUACCAUUUUUGUGUUUUCUCUCUAUUUUUGUGUUUCUCUCUUCAUAUUUGUAUUUCUCUUUCCAUUUUGUGUCUUUAUUUUUUUUAAGGUUGCUAGCAAUUUGAUGCUUGUGGAGUUUAUGAGAAAUUGAGAAGAAUUAUUUUUUUGGUAGUUCAUUUGAUUGAAAAAAUAAAUUUUAAUGGGUCGUUAGCAAUUUAGCUUCUUUUUGGGUGACUUUUGUUUAAUUUUUCUGAAAAAAAUGGAAAAUCAAUAAAUCUAUUUAGCUGAAACAAUAAUUUUUGCUCCUUUUUAGUAUGUUUUGUUCAAUUUUUAGAAGGAAAAAAAUUCGUAAAACGAAAAUGAGUUAAUUAGUGUGGCAAAAUUCUCAAAGAAAAACGAAUCUAUAUAAUGAACCAACAAAUUUUGCUCCUUUUUGGAUCUUUUUUCUUCAAUUUUAAGAAGAAAAAUGAAGCACAAGUAACUUAUUUUUCAUGAAAAUGUUCUUAAAAAAUAAAUAUAUUAAGUAGUUUAUACUGAAAUUGAAUUAAAAUAUAAAUUAAUUUUAAUUUAAAUUAUUUUAAAAAUAAAAUCUAAUAGUAAUCAACUUUAUAUAAUGUUAAUAAUUAUAAGGAUAUUUUAGAUAUUUUGACUAAAAGAAAGUGUUUAACAACAAUCGUCUACCAAAUACAUCUACAAUUUUUUUCAGUAUUAGCAAUUUUAUCCAAAUACGUAAUUGUUUAUUUUUAAAAGAAAUUUCAGUACUUUCACAAACACUUUCAAAAACCACUUUUUUUUUCAGCCUAUCCAAACAGACUCGUAUUUUAAAAAUAAGAUAUUUGAUUAAGCAUUCAAAAAUAAGUACUUUUGAAAGUAGAAAAAUUAAUUUUUUAUAAGCUAAAAAAUAGCUUCUUGCUAAGGCAUUUAUUUGAAAAAUACUUUUUGAAAAGGUAUACUUAGAAACACACAAUUUGACCGAAUAAUAAUUAUUGCUCAAAAAUAUAUUUUAAAUUUAUUAAUCAAACACAAACUGUUUUUCACCAAAAAUAUAUUUUAAAAAAUAUUUCUGAAAAAAAUACUUUUCAAAAUAAGUAUUUUAGAAGCUUAUCGAAUAGAUUAAUGACUCCCACGGGUAUUAGUAUAUGAAAAAAAAUUGACUCCCUUUGUUUUUCUUUUUUUCUUUUCAUUCCUUGUUUGUUGGUCAGGUUUGGAGGAGAUAACUUUGAAAUUCUUUUUGGCGAAAUGGUCUCGUGAACUUUUGUAUUUGUUCGAAUUUGUAAAGUGAACGUCUCUACUUAAACUUUUGUCAUCUGAACCCUUCAACUCAAUAAAAUUCAAUACUUUAUACCCUAUUUCGAUAUGUGUAACACAAUUACUGCCACGUCAGUUUCCACAUAAAUUUCACGUCAUUUUUCAAUUAGAGAUAGAAAAUAAAUAAGCUUACCUCCCCCUCCUCCUCCCAACGUCAGCUUUCACAUAGAUUUCACAUCAUUUUUCAAUCAGAGAUAUAAAAUAAUUUUUUUUUUUUUUAAGAAAAAAGCUUACCUCCCCCUCCUUCUCACCCCCCCCUCUUGAUCUUUAGUCUUCAUUAACAUCUCAUUUCGUCUCCUCUCACCUACAUUUUUGAACAUCACCUUCAUUAGCCAUCUCUAUAUGACAUUUGAAAAUUCACAUCACAAAUGAAUUGAAAAAAAUUGAGAAAUUUACUUGUAAAAAUUAUAGAUUUUGAAAUUUCUUGUUUAGUUUGAAAAGAUUUUUAGUUAGAAUUAUUAAUUGAGAAAAUUAUAAUUUUGAUAGUUUGAUCUCAAUCAUUAAUUAUAGUUUUAAAGACGAUAAAAAAAAUAAAGGAGUGGAGAUACGAUGGUGGUGGAAAAUGAAGGAUUAGAAAUCCGUUAAUGGUAAAAAUGAAGAAUAAAAGACGGGUAAUGAAGGGGGUAGGAGUAUGUGGUGAGGGCAGAGGCGGAUCUAGAAUUUAAAUGUUGUGAAUUUCUAACUUAUAAUUUUUACCACUAGAUCAAUAACGCACUUUGUUUUUGUGGGUUCCCAAUUUAUAAUUCUUAUAUAUUUAUUAGUUUUUUCAAUAUAAAUUUAAGAACCGUACAAAAGUUAUUGAUUCCCGAGAAUCCACACGUAAAAUUGUGCAUUCGCCCCUGAGGAGGGGGAGGUAGGAGUUGGAAAUGAUGCCCACUCGGACUAAUGCAUGUAACACGCCGUGUCCAACUUAACCACCUUAAUGCCAUAUAAGUUUGAUUACCAGUCAAAGAAAUUUAAAAUAUUGUGUUUUGAUAAAUUGAGGGGUUCAAAUGACAAAGAAUUUAGAAGAAAAAUCCACUUUACAAACAAAAAUAAAUACAAAAAUCCACGAGACCAUUUCACCGUUCUCUUUAAUUCUUAUACUUCAGAAUUACACAGGUUAUGUGAGAAAGCAUCGUCUUUUUUUAAAAUUUCAUCAGGUAUUCUUUAUAUGGGAAAAAGUAAGAACAACCUACACUGACGAUGCACUUCCCUUACAAGAAAUUAUUGGAACACAACAGUAUCUUAUGUAUUAAAAAUAACUCUUUGACAACUUUUAUUUGUUAUACUCCCUCCGUUCCUGAUUAAUUUUAUUAUUAUUAAAAAUAAAUAUUCAUUAAUAUUUGUUAUUUUAUAAAUGAAAUAUAAUUACUUAUGUGUUUUUCUUUUUACCCUAUUAAAUACAGGUAAUUUAAUAAAUUUAGCAUGUUGUUAAUUUUUUUGUCGAAGUAAGUGCAAACAAAAAUACGACAACCAUGAAACAAAUUUAGAAACGAUUGUCCAAACGAAAACUAGCAAAAAAAAAAAAAAAAAAAAAAAGGAAAUGGAAAAUUUAUUUCAGUUUAUACCGAACACUUCAAAUGACCUUUUUGGAUGGCAGAUAAAAGCGAAGCUUCCAAAAUGUUUUUAAGAAUAAAUAAAGAAAUUUUGUAGUUACUUUUCGAAACUCAUUUUUCUUAAAGGGAAAAUAUUUUUUAAAAUAUAUCAACGAACCAAACAUAAAAAAUAAAAAUACAUUUUCCUCCUUAUCAGAUGCACCCUAAACAAAUCGAAAACAGUUUCCUCCCUCUCAAAACACACCUUAAAAAUGUCUGUUGUGGCACAAAUUUAUAUAAUUCACGCCUACAACAAUAACAUUGACAUCCACACUACUACUUCAGCACUACUGCUUUCUGAAGUAGAGAAGCUGUUUAAAUAUGAAUAUUAGAUACUGAUGGAGAAACGGAUUUAGGAGUUAAUUGUGGUGUUUCAAUCCCGUGAACCUUAAAUUCUAAUUCCGCUAGUACUCCCACGACGUAAUUUCUAAAUAAGUUUCCAAAUUAUUAUGAAAAUAACUCUAAAACUAUGCGGCCAAUUUAGAAAUGAAGUAAUCCAAUCACCAAAUAAAUGUUUUAUGCCAUAGUAAUCGGGAAAAGGAAAUUUGCAAAAUAUUAGUCCCGUCGAAAACUACGAACAGACAAGCCCCCAAAAAAAGAACCUUUCUUUUUUACAGUAGUGAAAAAGAACUUCACAUAAAUAAAGCUCUUCAAAAACUGGAAAAUAAUUUCCAAAAAACUACUGUAUCAAAAAACCAAAAAAACAUUUUUAUAAGUAAAAUAAAAUGAAAACCUCAUCAGAAAUCCUUCUUCUUCAUCAUCAUCAUCAUCAUCAUCAACAUCGCCAGCCAUGUAAAUUCAUCUUAAAGAAAACCAAUCAAGCACAUCCCACACUACGCGCCUUCGCGUGAUGUCCACGCGCUCGUCGGAAACUAAAGGCGAUCGACAGAUUGGACAAAUAAAAUUGAAAGUAUCCAACCAUCCAUCAAAACAUUCUUUAUGAAAAAUAUGUUUACAACUCAAUUUCCUUACAUGUUCACCAUCACCAAACCUACUCAAGCAAACAACACAGCUCGAACCGGAUGCUUCAUCAUCACCUUGAUCAUCGAAAGCAUAUGAAAACAUCCGGUUCAAAUUGAGCUGCUCGGCUAGCAUAACCAUCCCGGCUAGACCGGAACCCACUGUUUCAUAUAGAACGUCUUCUCGAUGAACUGGAGGAUGAUGAUUCAUUUGAGAAGUCGACAUGACGAAGAAUUGACUGAAAGAGAAAAUGAAGGAACGGAGAUUGCCUAAGCAAUUAAUAAGAAGGGUAACUAGUAAGAUUGGGAUUGAUUCAGUAGAAACAUCAGUUAAUUGAUUUUGUAAUCCCAUUUUUUGGGGGGAUUAUUAGAGUUUGGUAGAUUUCAAUCACUUUGGUUAUGGUUUUUUUAAAGCUUAGCGGUUAUAUAUAUAAAGUUGGUGUGUGAAAUGAGUGUACAUAGAGUGCUUUUUCGUGGGGGUCGGUGGAGGGUGCGCGUGGGGGUGGGUGUAAUUUGGAGGGACGGGGUUACGUGGGAAGGGAUAGAGAGGGACAGACAAUUAGGUGUGUUCAAGUGUCAUCCGCUUCAUCGCAGCAAUUUCUACUUUACGUUACUUGAUUUAUUUAUUUUUUUUCUGAAAAAUAUUGUGAUUUAUAAUCUUUCCUUCAAAUUUGAUCUACUUUAUUUUUAGAAUUUAUUUGAUGAUACGAAAUUAUAUCAGAUGGAACUGAAAUUUAUAUGAACAUACAAUUUAAAUUUUUUAAGUUGUAUAUUUUUUUUAAAAUUAAUAUUUUAAAUAAUUAUUCAAUUUAUAAUUUUUAUCCCAAAAAGUUAUAUUAUUAUAAUUUUUAAUCUAAAAUUACUCAACUAAUUAUUCUUUUCUCAAAAAAUUACUGAAUUAUAAAUAUAUUAUUUAUAAGUCACUCGAUUUAUUUAAUUACUUUUUUUCCUUAAAUUUUACUCACAUUAAAUUUUAAUUUAAAUCCAAAAUUAAAAAAAAAAAGGAAGAUAAACCCAAACUCAAAUUUAUAAUGUGGCUUUGUCCACCUAUUCAACAUUACAUACUAAUUCAUAAUAAGCCGAAUUAGUCUUUAAUCUACAAGUUAAAAUAUAUCUCUCUCUCAAAUAUUAAUUUUUAUUAUAUAUUAAUAGUCUAAAACAUUUUAAUCUAUUACUAUAGUUGCGCUUAAUUUGAAUGAUUCAAAGCCACCUACUUAACAUUACAUAGUAAUUCAUAAUAAAUCGAAUUAGUCUCUAAUCGACAAGUUAAAAUAUAUAUCUCUCCCCAAUAUUUAAUUUUUAUAUAUUAAUAGUCUAAAACAUUUUAAUCUAUUACUAUAAUUGCGUUUAUUCUGAACGAUUUAAAGCCACCUACUCAACAUUACAUACUAAUUCAUAAUAAAUCGAAUUAGUCUCUAAUCGAUAAGUUAAAAUAUAUAUAUAUCCCUAAUAUUUAAUUUUUAUAUAUUAAUAGUCUAAAAUAUUUUAAUUUAUUACUAUAAUUGCGCUCUGAACAAUUUUAAAAAGUUCAUAAAAUUCCCUAAUUCUUAUUUAUGUCAUCAUCAAUUUAAUUUGUUGCUCAACUUUUUAAAUGUCAGGCCAAAUACUACGCGGAAAACCAAAUACUACGCUGAAAACUAGUUCAUAAAAUAAGAAUUAUUCAAGAUUAUAUAAGAAUAUCAGUAACCCACAUCUACAUCUUUUGUACUCUAUAUCAACUCAUUCUGGGUAAUUAAGUCAGUAAAACUAGAAUUGAUUAAUUCAUGCAAGUAUGGGAAGAAUGGGUAAAGUGUGUUUAGGUGGCAUUCCUUUCAAAGCUGUUGUAAAAUCAUUUAAAUGUUUUAAAAGGGGUCAAUGUUAUAUUUUUAGCGACUUGGGUCAUUAACAGCCUGUUUGGAUGGUGAUUUCCUAUAGUAUGGUUAUCAUGGGAACUAUGUUUGUUUACAUGGUUUUCUAAAAAUGGUGGUAUGGUAUGUUACUAUUUCAUGGUUUGAUAACCAUGAAAUGAAGCAAUUUAUUGAACCACUAAAUUGGUGGUGUGCUAUGGUUUUCAUUUUUCUUUUCCAACUAUACCCUUAUAUAAUUUUCUUUAAUCCUAUUUUAUCCUUAUCAACAAAAUACAUGCUAAGACUACGCAUUUGUUAACAAGAUCGAAGAUUGCAAGACUUCCUGUGAGCAAUAUAAAAAUUCAAAGAGUGAGAAAAAUGUUCACAGUUAUUUAGUAGUAGUAGUUUUUAAUGCCAAUAAAAACUCAAUUCGAUUAAAAAAAAUUGAAAAUUGAAAAUUGAAAUGGAGGAAAAUAGGGUGAAUGCACAAAAAGCAUAUAUAUGGGAAGUGAUUUUUGAACUCUAAGAUAUAUACAUGUAUACCAAUUGGUUUAUUGAUUGGGAAGUACUUCCCGAUUGCAUUAGUUUGCGUUCGUCAAACCUUUGUUUAGCAAAUACCUUUGUGAAUUUGACUUCUUAAAAGGAUUAUCGGGUAGCUACGAGAAGCAUCAAGAAAGAAAGGACAACUGGUUACGCUAGCACUGAUAUGGAUAAAAGAGUUGAUAUCUCAAAUGUAUUACAACUAGGGGCAUUUUAUUAAAUUUACCUGUUACCAUACCUUACCAUACCAUCAAACCAAACAAAAAAUCUAUUAUUAAACCGCAGUGAACGAUAUAGUUCAUCCAAACAUGGUACUGUACCAUACCAUACUAUACCAUAUCAUUCUACACCAUACCAUACAUUAUGAAAUCAUGGCAAACCAUCAUCCAAACAGGCUGUAAAUAGUCUAAACGAUAAUUUUUUUUGUUUCUUAGAAUGUUGAUUUAAUUAAAAUUCUAUGUUGAUAAAUUUUAAUUACAAAAAUGAUUUAAUAGGUCGAAUGAUUUUGUAAGUAAAAAUUUAUAAUUGAAUGACUUUUGAAAUAAAAAUUAAAGUUCAGUGACUUUUUAAAAAAAGAGCCGUAAAUUGAUUACCUUUUGAAGUAAAACCAAAACUUGAAUGACUUUUUCUCAUAGACAUGAAAAUCUCACAAGUUAUGAAAAACUAUUAAAUUUCUCCAAUUCUUAUCUAAUGUUAUAAAAGGAUAAGAAAAUAGUUCACAAAUAGGAUAUCAUAACAUAGUAAGGUACUGCAUUGGUAAAUUGUAUAUCUUCAUAAGCUCGUUAUAAAAAAAAUCAAAUACGAUUUAAUGAUAAUUGUUAAAAAAUAAUAAUUAAAAAUAUCAAUCAUUAUUCAUCUCAAUUUAAGUUUAUCUUUUCUCUAUCUUCAACUAACAUUAUAUGUUGUUCUAAUUAUAUUUUUAGUGUUGAUAUCAAAUGAAAAAAAAAAAAACUCAAUUCAACAAAUUCAAUAACAGCAAAUGCCCUUCCUUAAUUUUGAUUAUCUCAUCUCAUAUGUCGCAAGAAUUUUAUGUUAUUGAUUUGGCAAAGACACCUUAGUCCUCGGUAUAAAUAACAUAAAUAUCAAUCUUUUAAAAGUAAUUAUACUCUUUCUCACUUUUUCAAUUAUUUUACUCUCUCUUCCUAUUACUAUACAUUACAUAGUUGACAUAUACAUAACAUUCUGUGUAUAUGUGAGAUUUUUGUAAUAUGUUUAGGAAGUUGGAAUUUUUUAUAAUAUUGAAAACAUAAGUUGUAUAUUUGUGUAAUUUUUAGCCCUCGAUCUUAAUUAUUUUCUUAAUAUAUUUAAUAAAUAAUUUUUUAAAUUAAAUACUUUGUUUUGCAAUGUACGAAUUGAAUUUUAAGAAUCAAAGAAGAAUCAUUUUGAUCAUGCUCUCAUUACCUUACGUUUUACAAUCUCCUUUUUUUGUUAUUUUUAUUGAUUGUUACUUUUUUUUUCCUUUAUCUUUUCCUCUAUUUCUAAUUUAAUAGUUUUCGCUCAUGUAAUUCUAUCCUACUCUUGUAUUUAUUUUUAUAUUAUUUCUUGAUUUUUUUAUACAAAGAAAAUCGAGAAAUUAAUCACACCAAAUCAAUAAUUUGAGUCUUUUUUAGAUCAAUCUUGUUACAAAGAUAAAUAAUCAUCUAAAGUAGCCUAAUAAAUUUAGAGAGUUAAGAACAUUAAAAUUCUAUCAUUCUCCUUAUCCAUCCAAUAAAUACCUUUUAAAAUAUCUAUUACAGUUCAAACAUUAUGAAUUACAAUUUUAGAAUUAAUUAAUCUUUUAGUCUGAAUGUUAUAACCUCUUUCUUUUUAAAAGAUUUGCGAUCUAACCUUCAUCUAAUUGAAUUAGGUAUACAUAAUUCUUGUUUAGGAUAUAAUUCAUAUAUUUGAAUGUUAAUGAAAUAUAUCGUAAGUUAUUAAACUUUAUGCACAUUUUUUCUUAUUUCCUUUUUUUUAAUAACCAAGUCAACUGUCCUUACACUUCUAAUUUUGUGAAGAAUGUUACAAUUUUAUAAGAAAAUUAAUUUUUUGCUAAUCAGAUAAAUAAUUAAAAAAUAUAUUUGAAAAAGUUAUGGUCUUAAGAUUGUCCAUUCAACAAAAAUUUUCAUCCUUGAAACUAGUCUGCAUAAAUUAUUAUUGUAAAUACUCUAAUAUUUGAUUUACAAUAAGCUAUAAAGUUAUUUAAAUACAAAUAAUGACCUGUGGAAAUAAAUCAAUGUCACAUAUAGAUUCAAAUCAAAUUAUAUGAUGCUGUAGAAACAUUAUAAAAUCUUGAUUGUUAUGUGACUACCUAUGCUAUCAUUAAACUUUCAGAAAAUUAGAAUAGGGAGAUGAACUAAAGAGUAAAGGCCCCCCCAAAAAAAUAAAAAAAAUUCAAAUCAUAACAUGGUUAAAACCAUACUUGAUUUCAAAAUGGUACGGACACGAGGAGGCUAUGAUGAUUUUGGAUUGAGUGGUUUGUUUCACUCAUAUGAAAGAAAAAAUUCGUUUGACCACAAUGAUAUUUGAAUGUCUAUUCACACUACAAACUAUUCUUUUUUUUUUAUAUAUUUUAUCCUUUUUUAAUUUAAAUUUUUCUCAAUACUUUAUUAACUAUUUUCAAUACAUGGGGUCUUUUCUAUAUAUGGAGAUUGAAUAUUUUUCUUGCUCCCUUUACUUGGACGAAUUUUGUAAAAAAAUAAUUUGAUAAAUAACUUUUUUUUUCCUUUUAAUGCUAAGUGAAGAAAUUUAAAAAUAUGAAAUAACUUACGACAAUUUUUAAGAUCGGAUAACUUUGGUUAAUAUUAGUUAGACUCUCUAUUUUUUUUUAAAAUUUUAUUUAAAUAUGUAGUAUAAAUUUACACAUAUAUUUUUGUUAAGGUGAUCUCUAAUCAAGUAACUUAUUAAUUAUUAUUUCUAACUAAAUUUAAAUUCUGUAUUUAAAUAUUUUCAAAUAAAAUUAAAAAAUAUUUUAAUAAUGACAAUCAAAAUUCAGAACACUUUAAACAUGAUAGAUAUUGACAUAUUAUAAAAAUUAUAUAGUUCAUAUGUGUCAACUAUCACUAACAACAAUCUAAGAGAGUCGCACGUUAAUGUUGUAGUCUUGCUCCUUUAUGUUAUGUUGAUUUUUGAUAAUUUUCUAAUAAUAACUUAUAUUUGUUAUUAAUAUAUGAUCUCUAAUAAAGUAAUUUUAUUAAUUAUUAUGAUUAAAUAAAUUAAAACUACAAAUUUAUAUAAUUUUCUGAUAUAAUUUAAAGUAUUUCAAUAACACUAGUCACAACUCAAAAUACUUGUAAAGUCUCGGGUUUUUGGUCCUUGAAAAUUUUCUGAGUUCAGAGCUUUCUGUCCGACAACGACUCAACUCAUGAGAUGUAAUGUGUCUUUACAGGUCAUAAGACCCAGUCGUAAUGAGCCCAGAAGGAUUUUUCUAAGUCACUGCCUCAAUAACGAUUAGACUUAAUAAGUCGUAUAGACUCCUAACGAGUCGUAAGGAGGGUAUUUCGUAAGUUGUCCAGUGUAGUGCCUCUAUGAAAAUUGUUGAGACUGUGACUUGACCCUACGAGUCGUAGUGUCUCAUUACGAGAUGUAGGGUGCCAAUUUUAGGGUUUAUAGUGAAGAUCCCAAGGGGGUUCUGGUUUUGCGAUGACUGGAUGGUCCGAGUCAUAAGGUCACUCGUAGCGACUAGGCAGUGGUUUUCAACCUUUAUACAAAGGGUAUUUUGGAUAUUUUUCUCUUGACCUAAACAUAUCCCAUGACCUAUAAAACCUAUUGAGGCUUUGUUUUCAUUCAUAACUCAUCAAAAGAAACACUCUUCUCUCUUAAAUACUCUCUCAAGCAACAAUACUUAGGAUUUUCAAGAAGUGGGUCAACUAGAGCUUUCAAAGACAUAUUCUCUCCACAAUCUUCGGUAUUUUAGGCAUGUUACUCUUUUCUCAUUGUUAAUUUGUUAAAGGCAUGUGUUUUAAAGUAUUUUCACGAGAUGUUUGUGACGGUUUUGAAACAAAGGUUGGGGAUUUUGAAUGCUUAUUAUUGAACAAUGUUUUCCCAUGUUUUACAUAUGAUUAUUCAUGCUUUAAUUAUUAUUUUGAACUUGUGGGUUCAUGGGUAUGACGAAUGAACUAGAAAAUUGUGAAUUUCCCAUACUUGUGACUUUUAAAGUAGUUAUGGCCCCAACCCCAUAAUGUGAAAUUGGUUUUCAACUAUGAAAAAUGUGAGAAUUUUUAAAAUUAAACUAGUCUUGAACUAUUGCAUGAUAUAAAGAGGUAUUUGAAAUGCAAUGAAUUAAUUUAAUGAACAAAGGGAGUCGGUGUUCCCCCACCUUGUAUUAACGAACAAAAGGAGUUGUUUUUCCCAAGUUAAUGAAAAUUAUUUUGGCAUGUUGUUAUUACCUUGCAAGUGUAGUUGGUAUGGCGAUACCAACAAUAUAUGCCUUAUUGUGGAAUAUGGUUCACUGAAUGGGGAUGUGUCAUACUUGUUUUAAUUGGGCUUUAAUAAGAGUUGUAUAGAUGAGUCGUGAAAGUAGAGGUCCGAGAGACCGAUAUUGAAAACCACAUUUGUCGAUGCGGGGGUCAAAGUGACCAGGGAGGUUCGAGACCCUUCAUUAUUAUUUUAUGAUUAGGGAGGUUUGAGUCCCCCGUAAAUAAUUACAUGAUCGGGUGCUUAAAUCACCUUAGUAUAUGUUGGGAGAUUCGAGUCCUCCAUGUUCAGAUAGAUAAGAUUAUUCUCCAGUUCAUGUGGGGCCCGAACAGGGAGUGAGAGUUGGGACCCAUAUAGCCCGUGGGUACUACUAAAUAAUGGUUGAGCUACACAAUCCAGACUAAAGUCUUAAAGUGCACGUUAAGCCUUGUUCCCUAUCGCAGCAUGUGAUAUAUAUAUAUAUGCAUCUGAUUAUAUGCAUUGGAUUUUGAAUGAGUUUGAAACUGUUGAUCAUGGCAUUAUGUUAUCCUUAUUCCUGAGUUACAUGUUAGCACUCACACCGCACCGUUUUUGGAUGCAGUAUCUCCAUGUGAUACAUAAAUUGGUCAUACUUUUACAUCUCCUGCACAGUGAUUCAGAUUCAGGGUCAGUUUGUGAGUUGACACUGAAGUGGUGAGCUGCCAUACACCGGAAGUCUACAUUUUAUGUUUUAGUCUCUUAUGUCUAAGAUUGUUUAGACUUGUUUUGGCUAUAGUCGGAGACAUGUCCCAAUACUUUAUUGGUAUUCAGUUUUGAUCAUUUGCUUAGAACGCUUUGUUAGACUAUUAUAGUUAUUAGGCAAUGUCGGUUGGAUGAUUGCCUGGUCGUCAGUCGGUGGUUAUAGACUUGAAUUAAAUUUUUCUUAAUCUAUUACACGUUUUUUUUAUAUGUUCAAAAUUCAUUCGAGAUUGGGGUGUGUUGUGGUUGGUCUGGUUAAGUGCAGGGGUCCGGUCCACAUAGGACUUGAGAUACCUGUCACGGACAGGCCCUAGUUUGGUUCGUGACAAAAAUGGUAUCAGAGCCUAGGUUUGGUGUCAUUGUGCGUCCAACAAAGUCGUGUCAAGUAGAGUCUCUAUUAUGGGUGUGUAGCGUGCCACACUUAUAAGGGAGAGACUAUAAGCCAUUUAGGAAUAUUUUCCUAUCUUGCGAUCUAUUCUUCGGUCUUUAGAGUCUAAGGUCAUGAAAUAUCCUCUAAUUGUCAAAUGUUCGCUUUUCAAAUCAUGCCUCCUAGAAAAUCUGAUGCUCAUGGAAACUCUUUUGUCUCAUCUAAGGACAAUGUCACACCUCUUUUUUGCUCGAGGAGUCGAAGAAUUUUUCCAAUUAAAGUGAGGGUUUUGAAUAGGGAUUAUUUUUAUCAUUUUCAGAGUCGCUACUUGGAAUUGAGUUAUGGUGUUCUAAGCCACCUUAUUGAAUCUCUAAUCAAAAGAAAAUGACUCUAUAUUGGUCUGUAAAAAUAGAAGACCGGGUAAGAAAUUUUGUUGACCGAGGGGAAGGUAUGAGGCACCCUCAAGUCCCGUGAUUCUAAAAAUCAUUUUAUGGACUUAUACUUAGAUUUAACUAUUUUGGAUAAAUUAUGUUUGCAGGCCUUAAUUCGCUCAUUUUUUAAUAUCUAGUAUCUGUUUAUACCUUUUAGAUUGGGCUAAUAGAAGUUAAUUUUACGACGAUCUUUACCGAGGUGCAAUGUCACAUCCUCGAAUUAUUUUUAAAUAUCUCACAAAUAUGUGUACGUUGCAUUCUUAAUUGAAAAAGAUAUAUUAAAUGUGCCUAAAACUUAUUUAGUGUUAAAAGGCAUUCAUUCAUCUCUUAUAAACUCAAGACAAUAUUUCUUAUCUAUUUUCACUCAUUUUUUUAAUCUUCUCCAAAUUUUCCUAACAUUUUUUUUUUCUCUCUGUCUUCGUUUUUAUCUGUAUUCGUUCUCUUUUAUUUUCCUUCCUUUGAGAAAAUUGACAUUCAAACAUCAUCUGCAAGACACAUAUUUAUUAUAAAGAGAAAUCAUCAUACUUGACAUCUGUUUCUUGAAUUUUGAACCUAAGUUCACUGUUUUAUCAUGCUAAUAAUAUUAAUUCUUAGCCAAAAGAUCUACUAAUUUUGUCUUAAAUGAUCAUUAUAACAUCUGAGGAAAACUAUAGUUAUGACUAGCAGAAAAUGAGCUCAUCUUCACAAUCAUUUUUUUUAUCUAAAAAAACGCUCAAAUUAAACUGUGUUUAACAAUAGUUUAUCUUAUAACAAAGAUACCCAUUAAUAGUAAUUAUUAACACUUAGUUUAUAAAGAAUGCCUAAUUUCUACUUGGAAAAAAUAAAUAAUGCCAACUAUAUUUUCUUAAACAAGGUCUAUAUGACGUUAGUCUUUAAUUAUCAUUAACAAUAUAACUAAUCAAUUUUGAAACUCAUGUAAUACCUAACCGAUGAAUAUUGAAUUUCUUUAACUUGAAUAAGUUACCAAAUUGAAAAUUUAAAUUAACCAAAAUAUAGUCCAAAGGAAAACAUGCACAUGUUUAGUUUAAUCCAGAUAUCAUAUCAACGACACAAUAUAAAAUAGAAUCAUAAGCUAAUAACAAACAACAAAAGGAGAAAUUUUACAUACUAAACAAUGUAUGGAAUCAUAAAAAUAAUUUCAUAAUUUGAUUCAUAACGAAACUUACAAAAUUAAUAAUACAAAUAUUGAAUAAGAACCCGUGACAAAUUAAACCGACUGUAAAAGCAAGAACGCUAUCACCGAAAACUCAAACGGAAACCUCGAACUCUACUCGUCACUUCCUUUCUGUCCUUUUCUAAGGGUUUUCUUCUUUUGUUUCUAAGUUUUCUCUUAAUUUUGUUGUCACUUCUCUUCCUCUUUUCCUCCUUCUUCUUACUUUUUCUGUUUUAUUUUGUUCCUUUUCUUUCUUAUUUUUUGUCCUUGCUUCUCUUAUUUUUUCUUUUAAGUUUUUUGGUUUGUGUAUCCAUCCGUCUGUGCCUCCUUCUCUUGGGUGGUGAUUAUGUUAUGUAUAUAUAGUGUGCAUGUGUAGUGGGAACAUGAGGUGCAGGAUGGAAUUAUGGGGAGUUUGAGAAAAAUAUGGGAAAUGCGGAGAGAUUGGGGUAGUUUUCUUUAGGAUAUAUUUUUUUAAUUUAAUAUAUAUAUCUUUAAAAUAUAUGAUUAAUAAAUAAAUAAAUAAUAAUAAAAUUAAAAUAAAUAAAUAAAUUAAAUAUUAACUAAUCAAUUUUUAUACUAGGGGAGAAUCAAAAUUACGUGUCUAUUUUGCCUCUCUUUGUUUGAAUACACGAAGUAUUUUCAUACAAAGAAGUAGACAACGAAACAAGUUUUGACCAUCUGAUUAUUUGAAAGGGUAGAAGAAAGAAAAAAAGAUAUGUGAUUGAGUCCUGAUUUUGGACCACCUACAAAUCCUGGGUUAUAAGGGAAUCAGGGCACAUGUAGUUCGGAGAGGUGAAAUUGUAAUACCCUGAAGUUUCCUAACUAAUUUCGUCCUAAGAAUGUCAAGUAUUAGCUUCUAAAUUGAAUGAUGUUUAUUCAAUGGAGAAUUUUCAAGAUUUUCACUUUUAGUUAUGUGGGAAAUUCAAUAAGUUUUUAUCGAUAUAAGAUUCGCCCAAAUUCGAUAACCGGGUAAGAAGUUAUGACUAUUUCAAGUCCCCGUCGUAAAAUAGCGCAAUGUUAGUUAGUGGCGCUCCGCGCCACAAGAGAAAAUGACAUUUGUCAACUUCCAAUGAGCCUCCGCAAUUUCACCGCAUCGUGGAAAACUUCCAAGUCCCAGUUGUCCAAUUCAAGUAGGGGUCCGCGAUUUGUUCCACGUCACGCCAUGGAUAGAUUUCAGAAUUUGUAUGGCACCGGAUAUCUCCGCAUCGCACCAUCAGCCCAGUUCCCAAUUGUCACUUUCCAGUGACAUGGCGCAAUAGCACCGCAUCGCACCGAGUGCCAAAAUUAGGAUUUUAAUCAGUUUCGAGUUUUUAAUAUCAAGGGCCUUUAAGUCUUUUUUUAAUGGCCCUAAUCAGCUUAAGCACGUACUUAGCCCUAAAAUUACAUGGUCAUAUCAUUACUCAUCUAAUUUUUCCCCAAAUUGAGUUACUCUCUCUCAAGCCAAGAAACCCUAGCUCUCAAGAAUCAAGGUCAAUCUCAAGAAAUCCAUCCAACAACUUCAAGAACCUUUAAGAUUUCCUUUCUAAGGUAUGGAUAGUGUUCAUUCAUGGACUCGUUUCAUCCAUGAAGCCCAAGAAUCUCUUUUUAAAGUUCAAGUAUAUGGAUUUUUAUGAAUUUCAUGUUGGGUUUGCUUUUGUUCAUGUUGAUAAUGACCAAUUGAAUUCUAAUCCAUGUUUGGUGAUAAAUUUUUAAGUGGAACUAAUUAUUAUAGGUGUAGAUUCAUGUAAACCCAUGAUUAAACCCUUGAAUGGUGAAAUUAGAACUGAAUCAUGAUGUUUACUUGUUGCGUAAUGUUGUCUACAUAUACUAUGCUCACUAUGUGUUUGAUUAAAUGCCUAUGUGAAGGAAAAGUGUUGUACUAGUAUGAUAAUAUGAAAUCCUCAUUCAUAUACAAGUUCAUGCAUGUCAAGUGUUUGAUGAAAUAUCUCAGUCAAUGAAUUAUGAAUAUAUGUGUAGCCAUUGUUAUGCUUUACAAUUUAUGCCACGAAUUACUUUUAUGAUAUCGAGUCCUGGAGGUAUUUAAUACCCAAUAAUUUAGCUGUGUUCCUAGAGCCCAUGUCAUGUUUCCACGAUACUCUCAGUCAAGCCAUGAUCCAUAGGACUCAGUCAGUCAUGUGACUCAGAAAAGCUCAGUAACUCAGUAAUAUCAGUAGUAUUCCGUCAGUCAACGGAGCUCAGUUAAAUCAGUCCAGUUCAGUUCAGUUAAUCAUGUUCAGUGUAUAUAUUCAAAUAGGAGUAGGAUUUAGCACCGAGUGAACUCAAGGAUGGGAAGUCACCUGCUAGUAGAGGGUGUGAUUCUUAGAAGUAAUCCUUGCGUUCCAGAACUACGUAACCAGCAUAAGUUGAUACAUCAACCUGUCAGUUGAGGGUUGAUGAGGUGGCUUAACUUGCCAGUCGAGGGUCCCACCAUUCUCAUUAGAGUACCUGGCAGUUGAGGGUAACUCACAGCUUGUCCUUACCAAUGGCGCGGUAUUUGCACCCUUCCAGUUGGGGUUACAGAUUGGACCCCAACUCAGCUACAUUGCUUUAUUUAAGGCAUGUCAGUUAGAUGACUACAUCCCACAGUUUUAGUAUCAUUUUCAGUAAUAGAACUCAGAUAGUUCUAUAGAAUUCAGAACUGUCAGAUACAGUCAACUCAGAACAGUACGAAACUCAGCUAGUUCUAUCAGAUCCUAGACUAUCAGAUAUAGUCGCUCAAUAUCAGUUAUAUCAGUUAUCAGAAAUUCUUAUUAUCAUCAUUCAGAUUCAGUAAUCAUGUUAUCACGAUCUCAGUUACAUUCACUAUAUGUUCAUGCAUGCAUUCUCACGUUUAUAUUAUCUAGUUAGUUAGUAUUGUUCAUGCAUAUAAACCCCAUGCAUUCAGCCUACCUCACAUGCAUACCAGUACAUUCAAUCGUACUAACGUAUUUGUGCUAUUGUGUUUUAUUCUAUACCAUAGGUUCAGAAGCAUGCGCUCCAGAGCAUCAGUAACAUUCCAGUUUUAGCUGUCAAAGUUAGAAGUGAGUUCUCAUCUUCGGAGGACAUGAUCAUUAUAUUAUAUCUUCAUUACUUAGUUUGUUUCAGUAGUUGGAGUUAGUUGGGGAUAUGUCCUAUCAACUUUUUAUUCAGAUAGUUUAGUUUUAGAGGCUUUUCAGAUUAUAAUAUUGUUCAGACAGAUUAUUUCAGUAUUAGGUAUUUUAUACCUCGUCCUGACAUUAUUUUGUUAGUUAUGUUUUUAUCAAUUUUGAACCUUAUGGCCCUUUUGCCUUUAUUUCUGCAUUUAUAUAAGAUAUUAUGUAGUGUUCAGGUACAAAUAUCAAUCAUGGGUUAACUUAUGGUCCUUCGGGAUCAUGAGCACCAUGUAGCAUUUCGGGUAUCAGAUUUGGGCUGUUACAAACUUGGUAUCAGAGUCUAAGGUUCAACAGUGUCCUAGGAAGUCUAAAAGCCGCAUCUAGUAGAGUCUUGUACAUGGGUGUGUUGCGCGCCACAUUUAUGUGCAGGAGGCUAUAAGAUGUUUUAGGAACAGUUUUCCUUCUUUCAGUAUUUAUGUCAUGCCAGUGAGCAUGAGCUCAAGUUUUACUCUUAGUCUGAUCUAUUUCUCCCUUUCUUCUACAAAAUAUGCCUCCUAAGAGGAGAAACGAAAAUUAGUCAGCCCCUUAUUCCAUCCAAGCAGAUCCCUUGGAUGAACAUGUUUCUCAUGCAGAGUUCAGAGCUGCAUUCACCACUCUUGCUCAGUUAGUUGCUACUUAGAAUGAACGACCAGCUGUUGUUUCGACCAACCUAGUGGUCAAUUCAGCUGCAGCUAGGAUUUGGGACUUCACCCGAAUGAAUCCUCUAUUUUUUUUGGGUCUAAGUCAGAUAAGGACACUCAGAAAUUCAUCGAUCAGGUUCAGAAGGUUACAGAAAUCAUGGGGGUGUCGGCUGUUGAGAAUGCUGAGCUAGCUGCAUAUCAGUUGCAAGAUAUUGCUCAUAUUUGGUUCAAACAGUGGAAGUCAGAGAGGCUAGAUGAUGCGGGGCUUAUUGAGUGGGAGAAGUUUGUCAUCGCAUUCUUAGAUAGAUUCUUUACCCUAGAGCUGAGAGAAGCUAAGGUUUUAGAAUUUAUCAACUUCAGGUAGGGCAACAUGACAGUGAAAGAGUAUUCUCUUAAGUUUACUCAACUAGCCAGAUAUGCUCCUCAUGUGGUUACAAACAGCAGGGCCAAGAUGAGUAAGUUUGUUUCUGGGGUGAGUGAUAGCGUGGUCUAUGAGUGCAGAUCUGUGUUGUUGAAUAGUAACAUGAACAUAGCUAGGCUUAUGACCCAUGCUCAAUAGAUAGAGGAGCAAAAUAUUAAGAUGAGGGAGAAGCAGAAUAAGAGAGCAAGGACCGGUAGUUUCAACUUUGCUCAACCUAAAUCAGAAGGAGGGAAUCGUUCUCAAUUCUGUCCUAAGUCAUCUUUUCCAGCUCCUUUUUCGGCCAGUGCUCCAGCUCCUAAGUUCAGGGAUGGUAAUAGAGAUAUGGCGCCAGGCUCUAAGUCUCAGGGCAGUGUUAGCAAUACUCGAACUAAUCCUCUUUGUCAGAAUUAUGGUAAACAACAUUAGGGUAUUUGCAGAGCUGGCAGUGAUAUUUAUUUUGGAUGUGGCAAGCAAGGCCACAGAGUCAGGGAUUGUCCUUAGAUAGGUUCCCAGCGUCAGCAGAACCAUUCUGUAGCUCAGUCUCGUCGCCCAAACUAGCAGGGUGCCACUUCCAGUGCUACUAGUGGGCGACGCCUUAACCGACUUUAUUUUCUCCAGUCCUGGCAAGAUCAGGAAAAUUCCCCUGAUAUAGUUACUGGUAUGUUACAGAUCUUUUAUGUGCAUAUUUAUGCUUUGCUAGAUCCAUGAGCUUUCUUGUCUUUUGUUACCCCUUACAUAACAGUUGAUUUUGGAGUCAGUCUCGAAAUUCUAGUAGAGUCUUUUUCAAUAUCUACCACAUGGGUAAAACUAUUAUAGCCCAGCGGGUAUAAAGGAACUGCCCAAUUAUGAUAUCUCAGAAAGUCACUUCAAUAGACUUAGUCAAAUUAGAGAUGACUAAUUUUGAUAUCAUUCUCGGCAUAGAUUGACUUUAUUCCUGCUAUGCCACAGUCGACUACAGAAAUAGAAUAGUCCAGUUUUAGUUUUCAAAUGAACCUAUCUUAAAAUGGAGGGUAGUACUUCAGUAUUCAGAGGUCAGUUUAUUUUCUACCUUCGGGCACGAAAAAUGAUAUCUAAGGGCUGUGUCUAUCAUCUCGUUUAUGUUAAGGACUCUAGUUCUGAAACUAUCAGUCUUGAAUCAUUCCCAGUAGUGAAUGAAUAUUCAGAUGUCUUUCCCAAAGAUCUUCCAGGAAUUUCUCCUGAAAGGGAAAUAGACUUCGGCAUUGAUCUUCUUCUAGAUACUCAGCCUAUGUCUAUUCCGCCAUACAGAAUGGCAGCAGCAGAACUCAGAGAAUUAAAAGAGCUGUUGAAGGAUAUCUUAGAUAAGGGAUUCAUCAGACACAACAUAUCCUUGUGGGGUGAACUAGUCUUAUUCAUGCACAAGAAAGAUGGUUCUCUCAGAAUGUGUAUUGAUUAUCGUCACCCUAAUAAAGUCACAGUCAAGAACAAAUAUCCUCUUCCCCGAAUCAAUGACUUGUUUGACCAACUUUGGGGUGCCAGUUAUUUGUCAAAAAUAUACCUCAUAUUAGGCUAUCAUCAUCUUAGAGUCAGAGAAUAUGACAUCCCUAAAAUAGCCUUCCGUACUCGAUAUGGUCUUCAAAUUCUUAGUCAUGUCCUUUGGUCUUACCAAUGCCCCAACAGCUUUCAUGGACUUAAUGAACCAUGUGUUUAAGCAGUACUUGAACAUGUUCACAUAGUUUUCAUAGAUGAUAUUCUGGUCUAUUCCUGCAGUGAGUGUGAUCAUACAUACCAUCUUAAAAUCAUACUUCAGACUCUUAGAGAUCAUUAAAUAUUUUCCAAAUUCAGUAAGUGCGAGUUUUGGAUAAGGUCAGUAGCAUUCCUUGGUCAUAUCAUAUCUGGUGAUGGCAUUAGGGUUAAUCCUCAAAAGACCAAAGCAGUAAAAAACUGGCCUCGCCCUGUCUCUCCAUCAGAUAUCAGGAGUUUCUUAGGUUUGGCUGGCUGUUACAGAUAGUUUGUUGAGGGAGUUUCCUUUAUUUCAUUCCCUACAUCCAGAUUGACUUAAAAGAAAGUCAAGUUUCAGUGUUCAGAUCUUUGUGAGAAGAAUUUUCAGGAUUUGAAGACUCGACUCACCUCGGCUUCAGUCUUAGCUCUUCUAGAUGGUCCAGAUGGGUUCGUAGUGUAUUAUGAUGUAUUCAGAGUAGGUUUGGGUUGUGCCCUCAUGCAGCAUGGUAAGAUCAUAGCCUACGCCUCCAGACAGCUUAAACCCCAUGAGAAGAAUUAUCUGACUCAUGAUAUUGAGUUAGCAACCGUGGUAUUUGCCUUAUAGAUUUAGAGGCAUUAUCUGUACAGAGUUCAUGUAGAUGUGUUCACUGAUCAUAAGAGCCUUUAGUAUGUAUUUUCUCAGAAAGAUCUCAAUCUUCGUCAGAGAAGGUGGUUAGAGCUCUUGAAAAAUUAUGACAUGAGUGUCCUUUAUCAUCUGGGCAAGGCCAACAUAGUGGCCAACGCUCUUAGUAGACUGUCUAUGGGUAGUUUUGCUCAUGUUAAGGACAGUAAGAAGAAGUUAGCUCAGGAAGUCUAUCAACUUACUAGACUAGGUAUUAGCUUAGUCAAUACAGAAGAGGGUGAUAUAUGGGUUCAGAGUAGUUUAGAAUCAUCUCUAGUUUCUGAGGUGAAUGAAAAGCAAGAUAGAGAUCCCAACCUUGUCAAGUUAAAAGAGUCAGUCAAUUAUCAGAAAGUAGAGGUUUUCUCCCAAGGGAGAGAUGGUGUUUUAUGUUGUCAGGGUCGCAUGUGUGUUCCAGGUGUAGAUGACUUGAGGCAGUGAAUUCUUACAGAAGCACAUGGUGCGCGUUACUCUAUUCAUCCAAGGUCCACUAAGAUGUAUCGCGACUUGUGGGAGAUCUAUUGGUGGGGUGGAAUAAAGAGAGAUAUUACAAAAUUUGUGGCUAAGUUCUCUAUAUGUCAGCAAGUUAAGAUAGAGCAUCAGAAGCCUAGUGGGUCUAUGCAGGAGUUUAAUAUUCCCACUUGCAAGUAGGAAGAAAUGAACAUGGACUUUGUGAUGGGUUUGCCUCAAACUCGUCAUCAGCAUGAUUCAGUUUGGGUUAUUGUAGACAGGAUGACCAAAUCAACUCAUUUUCUUCCAGUCCAUACCUCCUAUUUAACCGAGGAUUAUGCUAAACUCUACAUCAGAGAGUUGGUCAGAUUACACGAUGUUCCAUUAUCCAUUAUCUCAGAUAGAGGUACCUAGUUUACCUCUCAUUUCUGGAAAGCAUUCCAUAAGGGUCUUGGUACCGAAGUUCAUAUCUAUACAACCUUCCAUCCUCAGCCAGAUGGUCAAGUAGAAAAGACCAUUCAGACUCUAGAAAAUAUGCUGCGAGUGUGUGCAAUUGAUUUUAAGGGAAGUUGGGAUGACCACUUGCCUUUGAUUGAGUUUGCAUACAACAACAGUUAUCAUUCCAAUAUUAAGAUGGCUCCAUUCGAAGCUCUCUACGGUAUGAGAUGUUGAUCUCCGGUCGGUUGAUUUAAAGUUAGUGUGGCUUCAUUUAUAUGGCAUAACUUAGUAUUCAACGCCUUGGAUAAAGUCCAAUUGAUCAGAGAAAGACUCUGGGCUGCUCAAAGCCGACAGAAGUCUUAUGCAGAUGUGCGCAAAAAGGAUCUCGAGUUUGAGAUUGGUGAUUAUGUUUAUCUAAGGAUCUAUCCCAUGAAGAGAGUGAAGAGAUUCGAAAAAAAGGGAAAACUCAGUCCCCGAUUUGUCGGUCCCUUCAAAAUUCUCAGUCGCUUCAGUAAAGUAGCUUAUGAGUUUGAGUUGCCUUCAGAUCUAGCCUCAGUUCAUCCAGUCUUUCAUGUCUCUUUGCUUAAGAAGUGCAUAGGUGACCUAACAGUUGUAGUCCCUAUUCAGAGCAUGGGUAUUCAUACCCACACCUCUCUUUCAAAGAGCUUUCGAUCAAAAUUCUUGACUAUUAGAUCACAGAUUGAGGAACAAAGAAGUCCCUCUAGUCAAAGUUCUUUGGUAGAAUCAGUCCAUUGAGGAAGCUACUUGGAAAGAAGAAAUAGAUAUGCGAACCAAGUACCCUCACCUCUUCUCUUCAAACUCAGAUCUAGCUUAAGGUAACAGUUCUCUUUAAGCUUAUUCUAUUUAUGUUUAUAAUUCCAUUAUAAACUAGUACUAAGUACCAUUGCAUAUUCAAUCAUAUGUUCAUGUAUCAGAUCAGUCAUGUGUUCAUGCAUCAGAUAUGCAUUAAGCUAUCAGAAAUCUCAGUCAUGUAUUCAUGAGCCAGUUCAGUAAGGAAAUCAUGCAUCAGAUAUGCAUUCUUAGUAUGAAUCUCAUAAAUAUCAAUCAUGAAAUCAUGUUUCAAUUGUUCAUGUUCAGCAUGUACUUCAGUAUAUCACUUCUUCCAUCUCAGUUAGUCUCAUUCGAGGACGAAUGUUCCUAAGGGGGAGAUAUUGUAAUACCCUAAAGUUUCCUUACUAAUUUCAUCCCAAGAAUGUCAAGUAUUAGCUUCUAAAUUGAAUGAUGUUUAUUCUAUGGGGAAUUUUAAAGAUUUUUCCCUAAAUUGAGUUACUCUCUCUCAUGCCAAGAAAUCCUAACUCUCAAGAAUCAAGGUCAAUCUCAAGAAAUCCAUCCAAGAACUCCAAGAACCUUCAAGGUUUCCUUUAUAAGAUAUGCAUAGUGUUCAUUCAUGGAUUUCUUUAGUCCGUGAAGCCCAAGAAUCUCUUUUCAAAGUUCAAGUAUAUGGAUUUUUAUGAAUUCCAUAUUGGGUUUACUUUUGUUCAUGUUGAUAAUGACCAAUUGAAUUCUAAUUCAUGUUUGGUGAUAAAUUUUUAAGUGAAAUUAAUUAUUAUAGGUGUAGAUUCAUAUGAACUCAUGAUUAAACCCUUGAAUGGUGAAAUUAGAACUGAAUCAUGAUGUUUACCUGUUACGUAAUGUUGUCUACAUAUACUAUGCUCACUAUGUGUUUGAUUAAAUGCCAAUAUGAGGGAAAAGUGCCGUACUAGUAUGAUAAUAUGAAAUCCCCAUUCAUAUACAAGUUCAUGCAUGUCUAGUGUUUGAUGAAAUGUCCUAGUCAAUGGAUUAUGGAUAUAUGUGUAGCCAUUAUUGUGAUUUAGAAUUUAUGCCAUGAAUUACUUUUAUGAUAUCAAGUCCUGGGGGUAUUUAAUACCCAGCAAUUUAGUUGUGUGCCUAGAGCCCGUGUCAUGAAUUUUCUCACGUUCAUAUUAUCCAGUCAGUUAGUAUUGUUCAUGCAUAUGAACCCCAUGUAUUCAGCCUACCCCACAUGCAUACCAGUACAUUCAAUCAUACUGAUGCAUUUGUGCUAUGGUGUUUUAUUCUAUACCAUAGGUUCGGAAGCACACUCUCCAGAGCAUCAAUAGCAUUCCAGUCUCAGCAAUCAGAGUUAGCAGAGAGUCCUCAUCUUUUGAGGACAUGAUCAUUAUGUUAUAUCUUCAUUACUUAGUUUAUUUUAGUAGUUGGAGUUAGUUGGGGAUAUGUCCCAUCAACUCCUUAUUUAGACAGUUCAAUUUUAGAGGCUUUUCAGACUACAGUAUUGUUCAGACAGAUUAUUUCAGUAUUGGGUAUUUUAUACCCCAUUCAGACAUUAUUUUAUUAGUUAUGUUUUUAUCAGUUUUGAACCAUAUGGCCUUUUAGCCUUUAUUUUUGCAUUUAUACAAGAUAUUAUGCAGUGUUUAGGUACAAAUAUCAGUCAUGGGUUAACUUGUGGUCCUUUAGGGUCAUGAGCACCAUGUAGUAUUUCGGGUAUCAGAUUUGGGGCGUUACAGAAAUGGUGGGACGAUGAGUUAGAGAACGAGUGAGGUUCCUUCGAGUCUUCGAUUCCGACUUCUAUGUUUACAUCCAAAUGAAUAACAAAAAUAAAGAUACAAGUGAAAGAUCAUAUCUAUGUAUCUUUUCUGAAAUAUUGAGUUAAAUCUUCAUAACUUCUUAAGUGUUGAGAUAAUCAUUAUUUUGAGUUGAACUUGGAAAAUGAAAUAUUCUUCUGUGUUGACUUUUGGUACUGAAGAGAAACUUGACAAUUGACUUAUUCUUCAGAAUUUCUACUGGCUUGAACUUGAAAAUCUUCACUCUCUUCUUUAGGUAGGAUCCUGAACUUGUAAUUGAUAAUCUUCACUCUAUUCUCCAGGCGAGCUCCCGACUUUCUAUUUCAUUACCCGAUUCUCCUGGUGGGCUCCUGACUUGUAAUUUCUUCACUCUAUUCUCCAGGCGAGAUACUGACUUAAAAUUUCUUCACCUUAAUCUCCAGGCGGGCUCCUGAUCUUCAAAACCAAAAGUAGUUUUAAUUCUCCAAACAUGUUCCUGAACUCAAAGUAAAAACUGAACUAUAAAAGUAAAGUCCCAUUAUCUAGGAGUGUCCUGAGCCGAAAGUAAUGUCCCAUUAUCCAGGAGGGUCCUGAGCAUAAAUUAAAGUCUCAUUAUCAAUGAGGAUCCCGAGCAUAAUAAAUCUCGUUAUCCAGGAGGGUCCUGAUUCGAAAGUAAAAUCACAUUAUCCAGGAGGCUCCGAACAGAAAGUAAAAUCCAUUAUCCAGAAGGGUCCUGAGAAGAAGUAAAAUCCCAUUAUCCAGGAAGGUCCUGAGCAGAACAUAAAGUCUCAUUAUCUUGGAGGGUCUUGAGUAGAAAAUAAAGUCCCAUUAUCCAAGAGGGUCCCGAGCAGAAAAUAAAGUUCCAUUAUCUAGAAGGGUCCUGAGCAGAAAAUAAAAUCCCAUUAUUCAGGAGGGUCCUGAGAACUAAUAAAAUCCUAUUAUCCAGGAGAGUCAUGAGUAUAAAGUAAGGCCCCCAUUAUCCAUGAGGGUCCUGAGCAGAAAGUAAAAUUCUAUUAUUUAGGAGGUCCUGAGCAGAAAAUAAAAUUCUAUUAUUCAGGAGGGUCCUGAGCAGUAAGUAAAAUCUCAUUAUUUAGGAGGUUCUUGAGUAAAAAAUAAAAUCCCAUUAUUCAGGAAGGUCCUGAGCAGAAAAUAAAAUCCCAUUAUUCAGGAGGGUCCUAAGCAUAAAGUAAAUUUCCAUUAUCCAGGAGAGUCCCAAGGAAAAAAAUAAAAUCCUAUUAUCCAUGAGGGUCCUGAGAGAAAUUUAAAGUGCCAUUAUCCAGGAUGGUCUUGAGCAGAAAAGUAAAAUCACAUACAAUGCGAACAAUUUUUUUCCCAGUUUGUAGCAGAAUUUUUUUUUAAUGUCACCAGAUCAUAAUUUUUAAAAGUGCAGUAAAGGGGUGAAUCAAAGCCUUGAUAAAGAAAUGUGUCUCUUGAGAUUAAAAUUGAUGACCAAAAUUAGAAAGUGCGUCUCCUAAGAGUUAAUAUGGUGGACUCUAACUAGAAAGUGCAUAUUCUAGGAGUGAAGGUUCAAGUUAGAAAGUGCUUCAUCUAACAAAUGAAGUCUGAAAUACCCAGAAAAGGAAGUCUGUCUCCUAGGGGUAUAGGAUGAUGAGUUUUUAUCAUGAUGGUGAUUAUCAAACUUGCUUAUAAAUAUCACCUCUUGCAUUUGCAUAAGUGGGAAAUUGCAUCUUUUGAUAUUUAGGCUUUGAAGUCCUUGAUUUGAAAGUAACAUAUUUUUUUAUUUCAUUUGAAAACACAGUGGUUGGUUUAUGGCAUUUGGCUACUAAGGCGACCGCUCUUGCACUUGUCAUGCUCAGCUCCAUUUCAAAUCAUUGAUAGGUAUCGUUGACUUGUCAUACUUUUGACCCCAAAUUCUGGCUACUGAAAGUAUUUGACUCAAAUUGUAUUUCCCUAGCAUGAUGCCUCUGGGUUUAACUUAUAUGCACCUUUUAUAUUUUUAUGAGUCCAAAAACUGCCAGAUAAUAGACAUUAUUGAGUAUCUUACUUUAUCUUGAAAUAUGUUAACUUUGUGCAAUGACCCUUUGUCUUGCUUUAUGCAAUUGAGAAAGUUGGUAACAAGUUUUAAAGUUUUUUGUCACUUGUCUUGACAUAAAUUUGACUAAAAAUCCGAGAAACAAAAUGAUGAUUUUUCAUUUGAUAACAAAGACACAAAAAUAAAAAAUAAAAAAAAUAAAAUAUAGAAAUAAAAGAAAAGAUAAUAGAUAUCUCUUUCAAAAACAACAGAAAGAAAAACUUAUCUGAGUGUCGUAGAUGGUUCCAAUGAUUAUGACAUGCAUUUUAAAUUAACAAUCUGAUCUUUCCAUCCCAAUUAUUUAUUGACUUUUUCAACUUGUUGAAUUUAAAACCAUGUUGCUAUUGAACUUUUUGCCUUUGGAUUACAGACUUUCUUCGGCUAGUAGCGGUUUAAUAGAUUUUCUCCAGCGAGCCUCUUUCAUUUUAAUUUUCUCUCAACUCACUGUCAUCUUAUCGUGCUCAUGAGGAUUCUCACCAAUAAAACUUUAUCAUUUUUAUUUUUCUAAUAACCCACUUUCGCCUUAUGCUGCCCAUAAAGAUUUUUCACCAGUAAGACUCUCUUAUUUUUAUUUUUGUUAUAUUUUUAUAUUGAUGAAAGAAAGUAGUGUCCAAAAUAUGAAAUAUCAUAUACCCAUAAAAUGCUUAGCCUUUACAUUUUUAAAUAUUGAUUUGAAGGUCUUUCUUUGAUUCUAAUUUUACUUUUGGAUAGGGUUAGAAAGAAAGGGCGGCAUAAGGCUCAAAAUAUACAUAGCAUAGGGUGAGACUUAAAACUUUUGAAUCGCAUAAAGAAAAUAACUUUUUCCCUAGUUUUAUUUCAUACUGUGUAACUUCAAUUUUUACUUGGUUGGACCGAAUUCCAGAGUAGGGCUGCCUAUGUAUCUUGUAAUAGCAAGAAUCAGGUCAAAUGUAGUUCAGACAUCUUUUGUUCUUUUGCUUGAUUUCUGCUUUUUUUUUUGACUCUAACUUUUCCUUUUCUUUAUGAGACUUUUUUCAACUCUAUUCUUUUUUAUUGACACUCUUUCCGACUUUAUUUUUUAGAAUCUUUUUGAAAAUUUCUAACUCUAUUUUGAUUUCAAAAGAGGGAUACAAAAGAAAAUAAAACUAUAUCUCAAAAGGGGUAACAAAGGAUGACACAAUAUUUGGAUAGCAUAAUGAAAUGUCUUCAUCAUAUCAAUCCGUAAAAAAGCAAGUAUAUAACAUGUAAUCUGAGAGUGAAUGUUGACACCUAAUUUUUACCCGCCAUACCUAAAUCCAAUUCUGAGUUUCUUUGAUUUUGAAUAAAAUUAUAACAUUUAUUUUAUCUGAAUAAAAAGCUUUUUAAAGUAUUUAUUUGCAUAAAUUUGUCAUUUUAAGUAGCGAUUAUAUAUUAUCGUAUUCAAUUGUACGAAAUUUUAUAAUUUUGUCACUUAAUUUUUUUUUUUUACAAAAUGUUGGAUUUUAAUCAAGGCUUAACUUGAAAAUAAAUAUAAAUGAUCAAAAUCUUGAUUUAAAUAUAAUUUAUUCUCAAGAACAAUUUAUUUGAAUAAAUGUGUGUUUGAUUUUAUUAAACCAAGAAGCUCGGGAUUAAGUAAGGUAUUAAUUCGUAUCAAAUCUCGAUUCAAUUUGGCCAAUCUAUUAAAUUCGGCUAUAAUCGAAAUCAAACUGACCCCAAUUACAAUGCAAUUGGCUAAUUGAUUCUCAAUUUUUCCAAAAAUUAAAUAAAUUUAGCUAACCCCUGAUUUAAUUGGGGUUAUUUUUUAAAAUAACUCAAAAAUUGACCUAAUCUACCCAUUUAUUAAUCCCUAAUUCCCAACACUAUAUCAAUUUCAGCCUAAUUUCAACCAAACAAAUUCAGCAGCCCAAUUAAAAAUCACAACCAACCCAGCCCAACAAAUGGUCUGACCCGACCCGUUCCUCUAUCUUCUCCCUCAAAUUUUUGAUAACAAUGUACUGCUCUAAUUUCCAUGCAAAACCUAAUAGCUCAACCUCAACUCAUUAAAACACCACCAAAACCCAAAACCAGCGACCCAAAGCCCAAACCCAAUAAUAUUUUGUUUCCACAUCGAUACGUGCCAAGCACGGGAUAGUAACAUCGAGUGUUCUUGAAGCUGCUACGUGUUACCUUUCAAUUCGUUUUUCAAUUGCUACAUUUCCAAAUUCGAAUCUCUCAACAAACUUGUAUGAUUUUGGCCAGCUCAAUUGAUCAUGAAUUUGAAAUUUGUCAAAAAUUUUGAAAUUUCCCUCUAAUUGUUCAUCUCCCACAUCGAUGGUGUGUAAAAACCCUAAUCCAACAUUUUUCUAUAAAAAGGGAUUGCGGAAGAGAAAAAGGGGCAAUUCUCAAAGAGGGGAAGCACCAUUCUUGAGCAAAAACUAGUAAGUUUUUAUUUUAGUAAAAUUUAAGAAGCCGUCAAUUUGAUCGAAAUUCUCGAAGGACCUACGGCUUCCAACGUUAGCUUGAGGUUCUAUUUUAUUGCUCCUAAAGAGGUAAACUUCUCGACACUUUAGAUUUUUUUACUUCUCGACACUUUAGAUUUUUUUAAUUUCUUAAUUUUGCCAUGUUUUCAGUAAUCGUAGUAGCAAAUUUGGUUUUCUCGUAUACUGGGAAUGGUUUACUGCAGAGGCCUUGAAGGCCGUAGGUUUUAUUAGGAUGAUGUUCUUGUUGCAAUAUUUCUCUGAUUUCAACCUCAAAUCUGUGUUAAAUGUUUAAUUUUUGUGUGUUCAUGUAUUUUACUGAGAUAUGAGAUUUUUAAACGUGUCUUUUUCCUUUGUCUUGCUCUACAAAUGCUAAUAAUGCAUCAAUUGAAAAUCGAUUAGGUCGAACUCUACACCUUAUUUUUUCUGUCGACUUGAGUUUAAAAAUUACAUCUUGUUGAAAUCUUGCACAGUGUAUGUUCUUGAUUUGUUUUAUUCAUAGUUGUUUGGAUUUCUCUGGGUAUGGUGUUGUUCAUAUAUUGUUGGCAUUCAUCUAUUUGAAAUAGUAGCCUAGCAUAGUGUAAGCGUUAAAUCCUCUCGAUUGAUAUUUUUGCAAAAAGAUGUUUCGAGUACUACACAUAUUUAUCCUAGCUUGUCCUUUCUAUUUUUUUUUUUGCUUUUUUAAUGUGGGUCUGUCACCAUGUUUUCUUCGACUAAUAAUGUCAAAAGGAAACAAGGGAGUUCAUCCUCUAAAUAAAUAGUAAGCUAAUAUUUAUUUUGAAUUUUUGCGAUUUAGUAAUGUGGUUCCUUGAAUUCGAGAAACCUCAAAUCUUCCUUUUAUUUUGUUUAUUAUCAGUCUGUCAAUUGAAUAAGAAAAACUGAAUGUAUGAAGCUGGAACGUCUAUUCAUGUUGUUUAGUGUUGUGUCGUUAAGAAAUAUUGAUUAAAUUGUGUUGGAAGCCUUGGUGAUUUCCUUCAAAAAAAUGUAUACUGUUUUCUUUGUUUUACUCUGGAUCAUGUUGCUCAUCAAGUUUAUGCCUCAAAAUUGUUAUUCAAUAAGAUAGAUAAAUUUCUUAAUCUCUCAUUUAAUUGGCAUCAUAGUAGACAAGUCAGUUUUUUUAAAAAAUGUUUGGGUUCCAAGUAAAUUUGUCCAGAUUGUUAGUUAACCUAUUACCUAUGGUGGUAUGAUUCAUUUUUCUCCGUUUCUUUAAGUAUAAGAAAUAUAAAUUGGUUGGCUAGUGUUAAUAGGUAUUUCUUACAAACUUAGACCAUUAAGUUGUAUUUAAGAUAUUCUCCAUCUUUGAUUAUCUUACCUCGAUCACUAUAUAGAUACUUUCAUUUCUAUUCAUUUCUCUCCACUAUUUUGAGAAUCGGGUUUCGCUUAUAAUUGAAUUAGUUGAUCUCAUUCAUUUUAUAUCUUUUAUGCUUUGAUGCUUAGUUUGGAAAUAUGUGUUACUUUUUUUUUAUUCUCUUCUUCAUAUGUGAAUAUGGCCGAGUCCGAAACGGACUCAAUCCCUCUUUGCAUUUCCUUCACGGUCCAUUGUGGCCCACCAUCUCUAUCAAGUCAACUCCUAAAGAAAGUUCCAAUAUCGAUCGCAUAUCGUGUGGGUGCAAAAAUCUAUAAGAAGAAGGAAAAUGGGUUAAAGUCCCAUCCUUGAAGCGGCUAACCAUUAUUCAUUUAUUUGAGCCUCGAAGCCAAAGUUGUAAACUAACAUAGGUGAACCAGAUUGUGGGCCAAAAAGGUCUCAAAAUAUGGAUUAGGACAGGUGAUGAUGGGCCGAAAACCCAAAUUAGUUUAGGACAGGUUUAUUGGUUUAGGCCUAACGGCCUAAAUCUUCUAACUCCUUUUUUUCUUCCUUUAUGUGCUUAUUUGCUUUUCAUUUGCUUAGACUUGGUUAAAUCCCCUACUAAGUUUUCAAUAUUUAUUUUUCUAAAAUUACUUUAUUUUCAAAAAAUCGACUUCUCUUUUUCAAAGUUAGUCAAAGAUAGUUUUCAAACAGUUUGGAUAACCGCAAGUUUGCGGACAUUUUAGGUGCCUUAAAAACCCUCCUAAAAUGUUAAUAGGAACCACUUACUCAAAAUCUUCAAAUUUAAAUAAUUUUUCUAUUUUGGAUUAUUUAAGUAAAUUUUCAGAGGUUUUUCUUGAUUUUCCUAAAUAAAUUAAGUGGCAACUCUAAAUAAGUCAAUAUUUUCGCAAAACAGUGAACAUAAAGAUCAUGCACAUCUUUUUCAACAUUGAUCGUGACUAAGCACAUGCACGUGUGUCACUUCUUACAUGCUUGUAAAACACACAAGUCCACUUGCAUUCUACUUUCCUCACAAUAGAUGACUCAUGCCUUUGUUGGAGCCAACUUCCUUUCGCUUCUCCCGACAAUGGAAACUAUAUAUCCUCUGAUUGAUCUCAUUCAAAAACUUGAGAUGGACCUUCUUAUUGAAGACCAAGUAAUUUUUAUUCGUAAAGUGAUUGCAUCAAUAUAUUCAAGUGUGGUUGUAACUAGAACCUCAAACAUAUCAACACUUUACUUAUUUUCUUAUAUGCAUUUUUUUCCAAUUCUAGCUUCUUGGUUCUAUAUUUUCAGGAUUAGAUUGGGUUUUAAAAUCUGGCUGAAAAUUCAACAUACACAUUAUAUCACUAAAACCAACGCAAAAUGUACUGCAUAAAGAAAAUAAAUGAACAACGUAUAUCAAAAAUAAAAGGUAAAGGGACACUACAUUUCAUUGAAAAAGAAAAAAGAAAGAAAAUAAAAAAAU
Molecule: long non-coding RNA, 58351 nt
Filed under: Capsicum annuum
Lineage: Eukaryota; Viridiplantae; Streptophyta; Magnoliopsida; Solanales; Solanaceae
Description: long non-coding RNA (CANN_LNC008108)
Source: RNAcentral